Molecule: long non-coding RNA, 46231 nt
Filed under: Olea europaea (common olive)
Lineage: Eukaryota; Viridiplantae; Streptophyta; Magnoliopsida; Lamiales; Oleaceae
Description: long non-coding RNA (OEUR_LNC000967)
Source: RNAcentral
ACAAGCCAAAAACAACUUGAUUUUGCUGCCAAAAUUCCAAAUGUGAGAUACCUUUGUACACCUCCCAAAAUGUCCAUUUCUGAGAUUGAACACACCAUUGCACUACAAUCCAGUGUUGAUUUAGUGACCAUUGCUCAAGCCAUGCACUGGUUUGAUCUUCCCACUUUCUACCAACAAGUGAAAUGGAUACUGAAGAAACCCAAUGGAGUAAUUGCUGCUUGGUGCUACACUGUACCAGAAGUCGACCCACAGAUCGAUUCUGUGUUUGGAAGAUUUUACUCCGUCGACAGUGGUCCGUAUUGGGAACAAGAACGAGACUUGGUUGAUCUUAAAUACAGAACCAUUGAUUUUCCAUUUGAGCCAGUUGAUGGAGUCGAUCAUACUGGGCCAUUUGAAUUCAAGGCUGAGAAGUUAAUGGAUUUGGAUGGAUAUUUUACAUAUAUAAGAUCAUGGUCUGCCUACCAAACUGCCAAAGGAAAGGGUGUGGAGCUAUUGACUGAUGCUGUUUUAGAGGAUUUUAAGGUUGCUUGGAAUGCUGAUGGGAAAAGCCAAAAGAUUGUCACUUUUCCUGUUUAUUUGAGGAUUGGCAAAGUUGGGUUAUCAAGUUGAAAGACUAAUCGUCUAUCGUGAAUGAAAUUUGAUAGAGAAUGGCAUCUUUGUAAUAAUCAGUUAACUUCGAUGAGUAUUUCAAUGCUCAAAUAAAAUAAGUUCCUAAACUUAGAAGUGGUGCCAACCAGAUCUAUACUCGAUUGCAAUGGCAGUGAACAGAUUGUAAACAUCUGUAUUUAUCAAAGUGCUUCCUCUUCGUGCUGGUUUUAUUAUCCACCGAAUUUUUAGUAUAUGUACUCAACAAGCAGCCUCCCAUAUUUAUUGUAAGGAUUUUAAUUAUCUUACUCGACUGUCAAUUUCACAAUCAAGUCUUCAUGACAUUAAAAAUCACGGUUACCUACACAGGUACAAAAUAUAUAAAAUGAAAAAAAAAAAAAAAUUGCUUAAAGAAUUAAAGUCUUUGCAUCCAUUCUUUCACUGCACGAUUGUUCUCUUGCUUCUCUUCGUUGUCCAGAAGUAUAUUUCGAACCAGGGUCAUGCUUGUUUCGAGCUUUUUCAAUUCCUUUUCUAAGCCCAAUGCUAAUCCAAAUCUGGCUCAGAGCACAGAAUCCGAACUUCAAAACAAGUCUUUUGACAAAGCUGAAGAGAAUUUGCUCUGCUAUGUUCAGUUAUAAUGCAAAAAACUAGACAUCAGAAAAUUCUGAUUGACAAAGGCCUUCCCUCGAAUGGAGAAAAACAUUAGAACUAUAUAAACUUUCACUAUAUGAUAUUUAUUAAGACUUUGGAUAGCUAACUUCUGCAAUUUGCAGUUUAACUGAAAAAUUGACUAAGGAAGGUGAGGAUUGGCAGAUGCUUUUCAUCUUAGGCAAGUGGAGCCUUGUUGAUGUCAACUCUACACAAAGGAGGGACUGUAAGAUAACAAUGUCUAAUAGAGGAGUCUUUUUUAUAAUAAUUUUGAGAUCUUUUUUCCAUUCUCAUUGUCAUAUCAGCUUGAAGAUCCAACUCAAAUAGAUCAUUAACACUCGUUAUGUCAAGAGAUAAUGUCUAACAAGUGCGAACUUUUUAUUUUUAUUUUUAUUUUUUAUCUCUCUCUCUCUCUCCCUAAAGGACUUCUUUACUGAGCAACAUUGUAGAAUUCGACCCCAUUUGGUCGUUGAAAUCAAUCAGAUUUGAGCACUCUCCCUACUGUAGAGGCACCUUUCAUCAAAAGAAUACAUGUAUCCAUCUGAUAUAUUAACCCAAUUAUUAUUCUAAGCAACACUUGCAUUGACUAAUUUGGCAGUGUUGUGAUUCUACUCAGGUGGUUCAGAAUAAAUGUGGUUACCCAUAAGUUAGAGUGCAAGGUGUAGACUCAAUUUAGUGGUGCUCUCGAGUUCUAGACCAUCUUCCCAUCUUAAAAAUAAAUAUUUAGUAUUGAUGAUGUUAGGUCAAAUUUGUAAUUAGGAAUUUCUAAAUUUAUAAUUGGCAAUUUUCGUAUUCAAAAUCAAAAGUUAGUUGAGCUGUAAUUAAAGUUAAAAUCAUGGUUAUUUGAGCUGUAAUUAAAGUCCAAAAAUGUCGUGGUUGGUAGAGUCCUAAAGUUAAGCAACGGAACAACCACUGCUCGCUUGGUGCUCGAGCAAUAUAUCAAUUCAGCUAGAAUCCUGAAUCGAUUUCAAUGUUGGAUUUCAAUCAUAUUUCACCCCAAACACUUCCAUUAUGAGUAUACAACCCAUGGAAUGUCCAAAUGUGUGGUUGAACAUUAUAUUCAUUAUUGAGAUCAUUUUCUAAAGAUCAAUUGCUCAUUCCAAAAGAUCUCUUGAUUCAGUCACAUCAUAUUCCUAUAUAUUGUUCCAUCAUUGGUAGAGCCUUGUUUAAAGUCAAGAGAUUAUCCUUUCAAAUCCAAACAUAUAUUCCAAUGUAUCUUGCAUCAGCCUACGGAUCCAAACAUAGAAAUGCCAUUAGAUCAAUCACCAAAAAGACCUGCCUUUAUUUAUAAGCCUUCAGAUUUUUGAAGUUGAGAGAAGAGGAGCUUAGAGUUCUAGCACUCUGGAUCGAGUUCGUUCUUGGUUAUCCAAGUAGAGAGAAAAAAACCCAAAGUUGCUAGAAAGUGCUAGUAGCACAAUCAAAGUUCCUUGGUGAUUUACAAGUUAGGUGGCGAGAGUCAGCUAAGGUUUAGUAAUGUUUGAACUAAUUAUAAGUUAACUUUUCUAGUGGAUUUUACUAGCAAGUUUGUCGGAGGCUUUUGAUUCAUAUGAAGAGUUCUUCUAGGGAUUUUCCUGUGUGAUCAAUUCUUGGUGUUAUUUACUUUAUUGCUUUUGAUUUGCAUGUUUACUAGUUGACACAUAGGAUUUAAAUUGAAUUUAAACUUAAUCGUGUAGAAACAAUAAAUAAGUGACUUGUUAUUAAUUAACUCUGCACACUUGGGUCUAAAUAAACAAUGCUAACAAGUAGUGUCAAAAUGUUAGUAAUUUAGCUAUCUAUUUAAUUUUUCAAUUGGUAUCAGAGUGCUAGCAUUCUUUGUUCUUUAGGCGAUAAAAAAUUUAAAGAUCAUUUAAAUAAAGUAAAUGGCCUUGGUGGUUAUGUAAUUUGAAUUGAUAGUUUAUUGUAAAUACAUUGUAAUACAAUGAUCAAAUGUUGAGCAUGAUACAAGAAAGUAAAUUGAACUCUCUAUUGAACUCAAAACUUCAUAACCAACAUGGAAUCUACUUCAAAAGAUAGACAAUAAAUAUUCUCCAUAUUAUUAUAUUCUAGUUAAAGGAAGCACUCAAAGGUUAAAAAAUCCACUAACUGCUAAAAUUGUUCUUUUGUCACUUCCACAAAAAUAUUUAUUGCUUUUUAAAUUUACAUUUCAUUAAUCACAUUUUAAGUUUAAUAUUUCAUAAAUAAAGUUAUAACAAUUUAUUGAUAAAUAUAUAUUAAUAAUCAAUCACUAAUUAAAUUAAUUAUCGCCAUUUAUGUUAGUACUGGAGAGAAAAAAAAUUUCAAAAUAAAAAUUCAUUAUUCAUUAUCUCUAUUCAUCCAACAAGAGAGAACCCAACUCCUAUUCUUAAACCAACACUAUGACGUUCGCCUGAAAGGGUAGCAAUUUUUCAGCCUCUAUCAGCAGUGAUAUAUUUAUUUAUUUUUUUGCCUGGACUCCUCCCUACUUCAUUCAUUCAAAUACCUUGUGUUGUAGUUCGAGAAUUUGUUGAACCAUAAACUUACAACCCAAUUCAUAAUUGGUGUUAACAAGGAGUGUAGAUCAGGAAUCUCGUUUGAAGGAUGAUUAUAAGGCUAGAAAAACACAGGAUAAAAGAAAAAGACCCAUAGCACAGAAAGAUGUUCGGGCAAAAAUUCUCAACAAACCCAAUUCCAGUAAAAAAUCUAGUUUGAAGAAGGUACAUCAAUUUGGUUUUAUUUUUUGUUGUUUAAUGCAUUCAUUCGAGUUUAUGAGAAAGUCUUAUUUGAAUUUUAUUGGGUAAUUAUGAUUUUCAUAAUAUUAAUUAACUGCUAACCAUAAUUGGUUCUUCUAAUAGUGACUUGAUUUUGUAUUGUGACCAUGCCUCUCUAUUAUUAUUAUUAUUUUUUUUAAAAGGACCGAAUGUUCUUCACUUAUUUUGUCAGUUAGUGUGACUUGGCCUUUGCUUUUAUUGUGACCUAAAUGUUUUGUGGGAUUUCGAAGACUAUGACCUAGUUUUAUAUUAACAUUAUGUUUGUCUGAAUUGAAUCUUGUGAUCGAUGUAUAACUAGAUAUGUUGAAAGGUAACAUUUGAUGAAGAAUGAUAUGGUUGGUGAAGUCACAUUGUUCUUAUAGUAUGUCUUGCUUUUUUGUUGUGUCAAGAAAUUUUGCUAUUAUGACUUUGUUAUUCGAUAAGUGUGUUUUUGCACACUUACUUAUCACUUAAACUAAACUUAUUAUUGAUUAAAUGAGUUGAUUUUUACUCACAAUUGCGUAAUUUAUGCAUUUAUAGGUAAAAAUCACCAAAAGGAAAGAGAGCAAGAUAAAGGAAGAGAAAAAAGAUUGAAAUCGUACAAAAAUCAUGAAGUUGGGGACCAAAUUGAACAAGUCAAAAAGUUGAAAGACUUCAUUUGCAAUUUUGGAAGGCCAAAUUGAGAGGAAAGUAAAAAUCUUAGGACUAUAUCAUGAAAGAUCAAAGUGGAAGGACCCGAUUGCAAUUUAUAUAGGGACUGAACUACAACUACUCGAAACCUAGGUCGGACGCGUGCCUUAGCCUCUUUUAAGGUUUACUGAGGGCAGCUGAAUUGUUUUGACCCACACCUCAUGUACAGCUAGGCAAGCGUCUGGUUCGGAACCUGGGACAAUUUUAAUAACUAAAUAAAUAAAUAAAUAUAUUUAUUUAUUUUUGGAAAAUUCUAAUGGCCCUUGUUGUAAUUAAUCUUGCUUGAUUUCAGGGUUUUGACACGUGCCUUAGCCUCUUUUUAUGGUUUGCUGAGGGUAGUCGAAUUGUUUUGGCCCGUACCUCAUGUUCAGCUAGGCAAGUGUUUGGUUCGGAACCUGGGACAAUUUUAAUAAUUUUUUUGAGUAAAUUUAAUUAAUACUCACCCAACUUUAACCAAUAUUUCUACUUGCUCACCGAACAAUAAAUGAUAACGUGUUGCUCACCCAUCUGUCUAAUUCAUUACUUAUUCAUUACCCAUUUAACUUCUGUCACCCUCCACUAACAAAACAUGUCACGUGGCGGAUGGAAAUUUGAUGUGGCAAAAUCAGGCCAGACAUGGACAAUUUUUCAGAAACACGUCAACUACCUGCACCAGUCAUCCUUCUCCUCUCCUUUGCAAAUGACCAACCAAAAACACACAAAAAUGGUGACAACGAGUGGAACGUGAGUCGGAAGUUCCACCACAGUCAGCAUUGCACGCUACUUUCUUAACAACAGUGGGAACAACAAUGAAGUAGGAAUAGCAACAGCCAAAAUUCACCUUCCAUCGUCUAUGGCCGUACCAUCGUUACCCUCACCGUCAAAUCCUAGAGAACCCAGAAAUCACCCCCAAUUCUAGCUUUCAUUUUUUUUUUGGGCUACGAAAGUGUUUAAAGUUUGUGUUAUUUCAGUCAUCACAUGAGCUGAGCAUUUCAAAUGAUCAUUCAAAUUGAUUGAAAACAGUCGAACUGUUCCCAUACAUCAAAAUCGAACUGGGAAAUUUGAAGUCCAAUAUAUUAGAAGAAAGUUUUUGUAAUGACGACGUUCAAAAUUCACCACUCUAAUCUAAUGUGUUGCUUCCAUCAAUUUCUCAUUGUUCUUCUUGCCUCCUGUGAAGAACUUGUACCCUCCAAAGAAAAGCAAACCCCAUCUAGAUAAGGAGACAAUCACGAAGUGCUCUUCCUUCCACUUGGAUGGACUCAUCGGGUCUUUCCAGAAAUCAACCUUAGGUGGCCCAUGAUGAUCAGUGAUGCCAGCGAGGCUACGACAGGAAUCAUAGAGGCGGACCGAGCGAAGGUUGCUACUCGGCGCGCUGUUGUUUUAGCCAAUGAAGUAGCCAUGGCUUUGUGCUUUUUCUUUCCAAGAUGGAACGUGCGUCAAACAGCAAUUCUAGCUUUCAUUUUCUUGCCACAAUGUACCAAUUAACGAAGCAUCCCGAAUUGAAACCCAAAUUCGUGAAGAACCCUAAAAAUUGCCCCCAAAUUCGCCUCCAAAUCUGCUGCACUUACUAGGUUGUAUCGAGGGUCCAAGAACUGGAGGAAGAAGAUGAAGGUCCGGGAGUGGCUUUCUACACUUUUGUCCCAUUUCAUAUGUGAUGCAUCACGGUGGUAGAUUUCUUUAGUUUAAAGUGACGGAAAUCAGAUGAGUGAUCAAUGAGUAAGCAAUUUGAUAGAUGAGUGAGCAAUGAGUAAUGCUUUAAUGUUUAGUGAGCAAAUAGUAGUAUAAUAUAAAGUUCAAUGUGCAUUCAUUAAAUUUACUCUUUUUUUCCGAAAAAUUCUAAUGGCCCUUGCUGCAAUUAAUCUGGCUUGGUUUCAGGGUUUUGAAGGUAAAAAAUUGGCAGCCAGUUUUUGUUUUCUUUUCAUUCUUCAUUUUUCUAUCUUAUUUUUCUCUUCAUUUUUGUUGAAUAAUCGACCUCCAAUUGGUGAAAUUUCGGGCUCAGGAUACCAAUCUCAACUUUAUCAAUACACCCAAGCAAUCACAACCCAAAACUUUAAACUUCUUUCACAUUCUAGUUGCUCAAGACUUGUACCCACUUAGAACACAAAGGGAUGGUGUUUACAACCACAAAGGCGGUGCUACAAAGGCUAGAGAAGAACAAGAGAAAAACCAGCACAAAGCAAGGCACGAACUUUUUCUCUCAAAACACAAAGGCAAAACAAACGUGAAUGAUAGAAGACCAAGGAGGCUAGCAUAUAUAGGUUAUGUUAGGUCAAAGUGGUGGGGCCAAGCCCAAUACAAAUAUCAAUAUGUGGGCCAACAUACAUAAGCCAUCCAAUGAGUGUGAAACCGGGUCAUGAGCAACACUAAUUAAUUAUGUUGCUCUCAUUGGCCCAAAUAAUCUUAGGGUCGGGUCAUCAAUCUUGGGUGUCAAUAUUUAUUUUUAUUCAAUAUCGGUUUAACAUCAUCGUCCGAAUUAUUGGGUAUCAAAACCUAACAAUUUUCACUUGUAAUUUUUGGAGAAAAGCCAAGAGCACAAGGAGAAUCUAUCAAACGAGUUUGAAAAAUGUUGGGAAAAUCAAGAGCUAGCCAUUAUUAUCUUCACAAAUCCAACCAACAAGCAUUUUUUCCAUUGUUUGGCCAAAUUUGCUAUGUAUUGCGAUAAAUAUUCUCAUUUUUAUCAUUUAUAUAACAUAAGCUAAAUAUUUGCGUUGGGAUUUAUGGUUGAAGUUUAACCUAGCUUUAAUUAAUUUCAAUGUUUACUAUUUAAUGUUAAAAUUACUUAUGAUCAUGUGUUUUUAUUAUUGUUAUUAUUGCAUUUUCAUUUAUAUGGCCAAUAAAUGAUUGUGUUUAAUGAUUUGUACAUUAUUCAAGAGAAGAUUGUAUAUUUUAGACCAAAUAGUAGAAAUCUCAGGUUCUUGUACAAAGGGGUAGAGUUUACUCCUAACUCUAGGUGGCUCAUUGAGUUAUUUUUACAAAAAUUUAAUGUAAUUGUUUGGUUUUAAUCGACAUAGAGAUAUAGUUAGUCAAGCCAAAAAUUGAGAAAUUGAGCCUAAUAUUGUAAAUGAGUAAUUUAUUAAUUGACUUGUGCAGACAUUAAUUAGGCCACGGUUAAGCGACAACAUGAAUCAGAAUCACGUUUUCCUCCAAAUUUUUACAAGUGUUUAUGUUUUCUUAGUUUGUAGAGUUUUAGUUUAAUUUUCCUUAUUUUCAAAUCAUAAUAUUAAUUGUGUGUGUUUAGUUUUAUUAUUAGAAUUAAAUUAAUUGAAGUUGUGUAAUUGAAAGUAAACAUUUCUCGAAUAAUUGACAAUUCGGACUAAAAAAUUCAAUUUAUACUUGAACGUGACCGUACACUUGCGGUUUGCACUUUCGUAGUGAAUAUUAUUAGAAAUAGUUUUAUCAAUGUUUUUUUACACGUUUAUCUAUGCAUGUGACCUGCAUGUUGUUCCAGUAUUUCAGCCUUUUUAUAACCAAUGCGACAAAGAAUGUUUUGACUAAUUUUACAUCAAAAUUCAAUGAUUCACAAAGGGAGAUUUUGAUAGGUACGUGUUUCUCCUAUCAUAUGGAUUGCCAUGAAAUUGUAUCAAUCACAAUUGAUACAUUACUUUAUGUUAACGGAGGUUAAGCAACUGAAUCUCGAGGGGGUGUGGUUCAAGAUUGAGAGAGAUUUAUCCCCUCUUUUUUCUUUAGUUCUACUUAGUUACAGGACUUGAGUAUAUUGGCGACGAUAAUAGAAAGAAACUUAAAUCAAUACCAUCAAGUACAAAUGACAACUAUUUUAGUCAACAAAAAAUUGUGACAAAUGAAGGCGUUAGAGAUGUGUUUCUUUUUCUAGUAGAUGUUCGAUAUACUGUAUUUUAUAAUAUUGUUCCUGUUCUCCACAUUGUAUAAGAAGGUGUUUGAGCAUUAUUUAUUUGCACUUGUUGAAGAUUAAGAUGUCAUGGAGAUGUUUUCGUGGGGGGAAAGAAUUGUUUGAGAUGUUUAUAAGUUAUGUGAAAGAGGGAUUGAGCAAUAAAUCAACCCAUUAUAGGCCUAAAGGUUUUCUAGUAGCAUUUCAAGUUUGGUUAUACGAAUCAAUUCAAAGUCUAGUAACCACAACAAUGAAAAGUAGGUACCCUCGCAUCAUGAGUUGGAUAUCGAAUAAUCAUCCCCCAGAUGCUAAAUUGGAAGAAGAGUUCUUUUCCAAUCCUAAUGUAAGUGCUUAAGUAUCUUUGUUAUUUGAGAUAGUUUUCUUUAUGUUUUUUUUUUAUCUGUUUUAUCUAUGUAUGUGACCUGAAUGUUGUGCCAGUAUUUGACCUUUUUUAUCAUUUUCUAUUCGAUAUUGGCGUACGUGUUAUUGAAUAUUCUAUUACAGGAUUGGCAAUACAUUAUCCUUGAAGACCUUCGGUUUUCGAGAAAAAUUAUAAUCAAUGCGGUAAAGAAUGUUCUAACUAAUUUUGCAUUGAAAUUCAAUGAUGCACAAAGGGAGAUUUUGGUAGAUACGUGUUUCUCCUAUCAUAUGGAUUGCCAUGAAAUUGUAUCAACCGCAAUCGAUACAUUACUUUAUGUUAAGGGAGAUUAAGCCACUGAAUCUCGAGGAGGUGUGGUUCAAGAUUGAGAGAGAUUUAUCCCCCUUUUUUUCUUAUGUUUUGCUUAGUUACAAGACUCGAAUAUAUUGGCAACGAUAAUAGAAGGAAACUUAAAUCAAUACCAUCAAGUACAAAUGACAAAUAUUUUAGUCAACAAAAAAUUGUGACAACUGAAGACGUUAGAGAUGUGUGUCUUUUUCUAAUAGAUGUUCGAUAAACUGUUGUUUAUAAUAUUGUACCCGCUCUCCACAUUGUAUAAGAAGGUGGUUGAGCAUUAUUUGUUUGCACUUGUUGAAGAUUUCGAUGUCAUGGAGAUGUUUUCAUAGGGGAAAGAAUUGUUUGAGAUGUCUAUAAGUUAUGUUAAAGAGGGAUUGAGCAAUAAAUCAACCCAUUACAAGCCUAAAGGUUUUCUAGUAGCAUUCCAGGUUUGUUUAUACGAAUCAAUUCAGAGUCUAGUAACCACAACAAUGCAAAGUAGGUACCCUUACAUCUUGAGCUGGAUAUCAGAUAAUAAUCGCCUGGAUGCUAAAUUGGAAGAAGAGUUCUUUUCGAAUCCCGAUGUAAGUGUUUAAAUAUCUUUGUUAUUCGAGAUAGUUUUCUCUAUGUUUUUUUUAUAUGUUUUAUCUAUGUAUGUGACCUGAAUGUUGUGCUAGUAUUUGAGCCUUUUUAUCAUUUUCUAUUCGAUAUUGACGUACAUUUUAUUGAAUAUUCGAUUGCAGGAUUGGCAAUACGUUAUCCUCGAAGAUCUUUGAUUUUCGAGAAGAAUUAAAAUCAAUGCGGCAAAAAAUGUUCUAACUAAUUUUGCAUCGAAAUUCAAUGAUGCACGAAGGGAGAUUUUGAUAGAUAUGUGUUUCUCCUACUACAUGGAUUGCUAUGAAAUUGUAUCAAUCACAAUUGAUACACUACUUUAUGUUGAUGGAGGGUCAGCAACUGAAUCUCGUGGAGAUGUGGUUCAAAGUUGCGGGGAGAUUUAUCCGAUUUUUAUUGCAUGAGUUCUGCCGUGUUCUCCACGUUGUACAAAAAAGGUGGUUGAGCAUUAUUUGUUUGCACUUGUCAAAGAUUUUGAGGCCAUGGAGAUGUUUCCGUGGAGGAAAGAAUUGUUUGAGAUGGCUAUAAGUUAUGUGAAAAAGGGUUGAGCAAUAAAUCUAUCCAUUACAAGCUUAAAGGUUUUCUAGUAGCAUUCCAGGGUUGGUUAUAUGAGUCAAUACCAAGUCUUAAUGAUCUAUGACCACAAUGAUGCAAAGUAGGUACCCUGGCAUCAAGAAUUGGAUAUCGGAUAAGCAUCCCUUGGAUGCUAAAUUGGAAGAAGAGUUAUUUUUUCCCCAAUCUUGAUGUAAGUUUUUAAAUGUAUUUGUGACUAAUAUAGUUGCAAUGUCAUUCAAAAAAUUCUAUUUGCUAUGCUAAGUAUUUUUAAUGCUUUUAAGGUAAUAGAUUGAAGUAAAUGGAAUUGAUCCGCUGGGCAUGGAUAUGGUGAUACCAUAUAUGAGUGGUGUACCACACACCAAAUCACAACCACGACAUCUUCCAUGUGAAGUGCAUUUCCAGGAGAAUUUAGGUCACAAUCACUUGAGUACUCAUGCAGGCACAAGUGCAAAUGUUCAAUCAUCAGGUCAGAAAUCUACAACAUUGCUGCUACUGAAUAUAGGUAGAAGAAUGCGAAAAUCAAAUGACAUUGAUGACGAAUUUGUUAACCUCCCACUAAGACGCUAAAAGACUUCAUGUGGUGUCCAUUCUCCAAUGGAACCACAAGCAAUACAUUGUGUUGAGGGUUCAUUAGAGAGAUAGAGGUUUAAGCAACCACAGAGAUGGCGGAUAACACAGCGGAUGAUACAUACUUGGAAAUAACCGGAUCAUUUGAUAACCUAAAUCCAUGCUACUGGAGAAAGUAUUUUGAUAGAUAUUUGAGAAAUUCAAAAAGGAGUUCAAUAUCUAUACAAUUAAAAAACAUAGAGUUGGUGAUGGAGCUAGAUGAUGAAAAGUCUCAAAUAUUAGCAUUGAAAUUGGAUAGAAAUCAACAAAUGAAUGAUAUUAUCCGCUCUCAAAGAGAUGUUAAAUUUGAUUUCUUCGGGAGAAGGUCGAAUAUGAACUAGUUUAAGGAUUCUGUGAUUGCUAUCGUAUCAUGUUCUAUUGAGGAAAUUCUAAAGAAAUGACUGAAACAAGUAGAGUGCAAAUUGGUCGAUAUUCUGAAAAUGUUGAAGAAGUAAGUUUGUGAGAUUACUAAGCUUUUUCCCGUUCGUUAGUUUAAUUUUGACAUUUAAAUUUUUGUUGUAUAGAAGAAUAAAACAUUAGAAAAGCAAGAGUAAGAUGGAAUCUGAUAACGAACCUCCAUAUCAAGAUCUUAUUCAAACUCCUUCAUUUGAUUUAGGUGUUGGAUCCACUUAAAUGCCUAUGAAUUUAGGCGAGCUGAGUGAUCUGUUCACAGACAAACAAGUCCAACAAGAAGUAGGCGAUGUAAUAUCCCGAAAAUUCAUAAAAUAGAAUUUAAGUUAUGUGUGCUAUAUUUUAAUAUUUCCAAAAGUUAGGGACUAAAAUGUAUAUAGCAAAUUUCAAUUUCAUUUGGGUUAAAAUGUAGAUAUUGACGGAGUAAUAAUUUGUAUAUGAAUAUUGGGCGCGUUGGAUAGAUCGUAAUUAAUCAUGCAUGUUAGGCUCAAGAAAAAGUUGAUUUGGAUAAUUUAAGCCUAAGAUAUUGACAUUUAAAGAAAUUGAUGUUUUAUAGUAUUUUAAUUAAUUUAAUGGGUAAUUGUCUUUGAGCCUUCCACUUGGUUAGUGUUAAAUCCAUCCUAAUCACAAAUAAUAUAUAUUAUAACUUUCCACCACUAGCCACGUUUCACGUUGAUAAGAAAUGUUUAACUGUCUUCCUAAAUUAUUUGGAUAAGUUUAUCAUUUGAAGCCUUUAUCCAAGUUUCUUGUGGCACACGUUUUCACCACUCUAGAAUUCUAUUUGCACCAAAAUACUCCACACAGCAUAUGUAUAUGUAGACGGCAGUUUCAAAUUGGGAAUUGUUUCCAGCAUAAAUAAUGAACAAAAAGGGUCCCGAAAGGCAAUUUUCACUCUAAGGCAGCCAAGAAAGAACUACAAGAUUUGGAACAUAAUUUUGGAUUUCUUCUUUCAAGAAUUUAUUCAAUCUUACGAGGUAGGAUUACGAUGUGCAAGUGGUUCGUCUCGUUUAAAUUAUUUAUUCAUGUUGAUAAAUGUUAUACUCAUGAAAGUUAUGAUAUGAUUAUGAUAUUUUGAAAUAGCAACCCGGUACCAAAGAGAUGAUAUGAUACGACAUGAGCUCUUACCGGUUCUGAAGAUAUGAUAUGACGAUUAGAACGGGUCGUUGGUUGGCGAGCGGUGCGGUGGAAUUGUGAUGCCAGAAAUUAUGGAAUUCAAGAUAAAUAAAUUCUGAGUAACAUGAUUAGGAAGUUUUAUUUAUUUAUUUUUCUUUGCGUUAUUUCAAUUUUAUCAUCAUGUUAAAUUUGAAAUUUAAUGUUUGAAACAUGGUUCAGUUAAUUAUGUUUUCCAUAGAAUGUUUGACAUCAUUUAUUUAAUUACGAAAUAAAUGUUUUUGGUAACGAUUCCAAAUCUUUAAAUUUUGGGUCGUUACAGUUUGGUAUCAGAGCAUAGGUUUAAUUUCCUGUAGAUAAAUUUAUAUAUAUAUAGUAAAUGGAGAGACGUGAAUAGUGAUUGUCAUGGUUCACAUAUCACUGUAUAAUGUGAACUGUGACAUAACUGUUAUGAUUAAAAGUGCUUUUCUUAAAAAUAAAGAAAGUAGGUAAUGAAAUUUAUAAUCUUUAGGUAUGUUUGAAUUGACUGUCAGAGCCUUCCUUUAAUAUUGAUUUAAUAUACUUUUAUCUACAUAAAAGAAUUCAAGCAAAGAACAAGUGGUUAAAAAAAAAUUUUUUUAAAUUCUGGAUUCAGGUAUAUAUAUAUAUAUAUAUAUAUAUAUAUAUAAAAUAACUAAAUGAAUAAAUAAAUUCAAAGGGGUGUUUGAGUGUUUUGUUUCACGUUUGGUUAUUACAUAAAGUUUGAAGCCUAUUCUUCUUUAAUCUAAAAGUGCGAAAUAGACCCAUUAGCUACUUCUAAAAUAAUAAUAAUGAAAAUAAUGAAAAUAAAUAAGUAAAUAAAAUGAAAUAAAAUAAAUUUUGAAAAUUAUUUUAAAUGAAAAAUACAUAUAAAUAUGUAUAUGUAUGUAUGUAUGUGUUCUAAAUGUCGUGUGUAAUGAAUAUUUAAUUGUUAGUUGUUUAAUUGAGUAAUGUUAUAUAUAUAUAUAAUAUAUAUAUAUAUAUAUAUAUAUAUAUAUAUAUAUAUAUAUAUAUAUAUAUAUAAUUGUGACCAAAUGGGAAUGUAGAAUGAGAGCAAAAGAUGUUAAUGCCUCAAAAGAUAAAAUAGGAUUAAAUGACAUGUUUAUAAUUUUUAAUUAAUUAUUACUGAUUUUCAAUCGCCAUGUUAUUUUGAUUCUAACAUGCUAUGUCACCUGAACUAAAUGAUGAAAUUGCAACUACAGAAAGUUUUAAAGAUUCCUUGAUUGGUGUUAUUUCAAAUAAAUUUUCCAAAAAUCCCAAAUGAUUUCCUUUUUUUUUUUUUCUUUUUUUUAUCUUUUUUUUUUUUUUUUUUUCAACAUAGGCAAGGUCUCAAAAGUUUAGUUGGUUUUAAUUAAUCCAUUAAUAGACAUGAUAUAAGAAGACUAUUAGGUAGAUGUAACUAUUUGAAUUAAGUCAAUAAUGCAUCAUUAAACUUGUAACCGGCCCAACUUUCCGUUUUAAGAAUUAAAGAAUUUAAGUUUAAAAAUUAAUUAUUAUGAUAAUAAGAAAAGUUUAGUCGAACUUAUUGCAUUUGCUAGUAUAUAUAUAAACAUUGGAUUUUACACGUUUUAAAUGUUACGUGUAAUAAAAUGUUUAAUUGUUUCAUUGUGCAAUUUGUUAAAUGUUAAUAUUUUUAUGAAAAUUUAUGAAUUUAACGAUAAUAAUAAUUUAAAGUUAUUAAAUAUGUGAAUGAUCUUUGGCACUCAACGACCAUCAAUCAACCACCCUCCAACGACUCUAAGGUAUGUAAAAGAGUAAGAAAAUAAAUGCAGUUAGAUGUUUUCAAUAAUUUCAAUAUUUUAGAUUGCCUACUUCUAAAUCUUUAAGACAUGCACUUUAUUUCCCACUAAAUUGAUGAUAUGUAUUACGAUAAAAAUAAGUAUAACGUGAUAGACUUAGUGCUGAAAUGUGAUCGUAACUUCAUAUUAAAUUUUAGGAAAUGGCACCACCUACUCAUACGAAUUUGAUGCGCAAUUUACUACGAGCCAUACAAGAGUUGAGCAGGCAAAAUCAAGUACCUCCACCACAAAAUGUACCGCCACAGCAGAAUGCACCACAUUUUGCCCCUGGAGCUGUCUCAGUGGUUGAGCAGUUUGGUAGGUACAAGCCUUCCACUUUUGACGGUAAUUCUGAACCACUGGUUGUCGAAGAGUGGAUAAGAGGCCUGGAGCCCAUAUUUCGACACAUUGCUUGUGCGGAUGCACAGAAAGUAUUAUGCGCAGAAUUUAUGUUGAUUGGAGCAGCUGGUCACUGGUGGGAAUCUGUUUCACGUACAAGGAUGGAAGAGCAGCAACGUAAUCUGACUUGGGAGCAGUUUAAAGACGAAGUGAUGGCAAUAUAUUUCCCACAGGCUUUGAGGGACUUCAAGGAAUCAGAAUUUCUGCAGCUCAGACAGGGAACAUGUCACUUACUGAUUAUGAAAGACAGUUUGAGCAGCUCUCAAGGUAUGCCCCGCACUUGGUGGAUACAGAAGUUAAGAAAAUUAGGAGGUUCGAGAAUGGACUGCGCCCUGAGAUCGGCAUGAUCAUUAUGUCCCAUCGUUUCACCUCAUAUCGUGAAAUGUUGGAGAGGGCUCAUGCUAUUUCAUAUCAGAGGAUCUCAUUUGAACAGUAUGCCCAGCAGAGCAAGGAGUCGUUGGGGAAAAGGAAGUGGAGUGAUCAAGGUAAGAACAGACAUAACUGGCACAAUAAAAGGCCAAGCACAGGAGUUCGUAUUGGUGGGACGAGUGGGAGUAUUACACCCUAUCCUAAGUGUAAUAAACUCCACAGGGGUGAAUGUUUACUUGGGAAGAACAUGUGUUUCCGGUAUGGUAAACCCGAACACAUUGCUCUCAACUGCACAGAGCCUCCAAAGAGGAAAGAUGAUGAUCAAGACAAGAAUAAGAAAGCAAAGGCUCGAGUUUUUGCACUGAAUCAGCAUGAGGCGGAGCAGGAUCCGAAUGUGAUUGCAGGUAUCUUACUAUUAAUAUUUUCAACAUACGUGCUUAUGUUCUUUUUACCUAUGACCAUACAUUAUUUUAUCUCUGUCCCUUAAUUGCUAGUCUAACACUAUAAUUACAAACAGGUAUUCUGUUAUUAUCUAAUGUACCCGCUUACAUACUUUUUGAUUCUGGGGCUACCAAUUCUUUUAUCUCUACAUCCUUCGUCGCUAGGUUAAACCUUGCAUGUGUGAAAACGAAUUAUGAAUUAGAGGUUGGCAUCCCUUCAGGAAGAACUCUUUGUACAAAUCGGAUGACUAAGGCUAUAAAGUUAGAGAUUGAUGGGAAAAUAUUACAAGUAGACUUAUACCUUUUGGAGAUGAAAAAUUUCGAUGUUAUUUUGGGCAUGGAUUGGUUGGGACUUAAUCAUGCGACCAUUCGAUGUCACGAGAAAGAAGUAUUGUUUCACAGAUCGGGAGAAGAAGAAUUUCGUUUCUUUGGAGCAAAGUUCAAGUCUUUGCCUAGUCUUGUAUCAACUAUUCAAGCGGAAAAGAUGUUGAAAAAAGAGUCAUGUCAAGGAUUUCUAGUUAAUAUCACCAGUCCCCAACAUCCAGAAACGACUGUUAAUGAUAUUAACAUUGUGCAAGAUUUUGCAGACAUAUUUCCAGAAGAUUUACCAGGCAUUCCAUAAGAUAGGCAAGUGGAAUUUACAAUUGAUUUGGUUCCUGGAGCAGCACCAGUAUCCAAGGCCCCGUACCGAAUGGCAUCGAAAGAACUUCAAGAAUUGAAGUUACAAUUAGAGGAGUUGUUGGAGAAAGGUUUCAUUCGACCAAGUGUAUCUCUUUGGGGAGCUCCUGUACUUUUUGUGAAGAAGAAGGAUGGAAGUAUGAGGAUGUGCAUUAACUACCGGGAAUUAAACCAUUUGACCAUAAAAAAUAAAUACCCGCUGCCAAGAAUAGAAGAUUUAUUCGACCAGUUAAGAGGUGCUACAGUGUUUUCAAAGAUCGACUUGAGGUCAGGGUACCAUCAGCUGAAAAUUAGGGCAAGUGAUAUACCAAAAACUACUUUCAAGACUCGUUAUGGACACUAUAAAUUCACUGUCAUGCCUUUUGGUUUGACCAAUGCUCCAGCUGUAUUUAUGGAUCUCAUGAACAGAGUGUUUCAUCAAUACUUAGACCAAUUCGCCAUAGUAUUUAUUGACGACAUACUCGUGUACUCCAAAGACAAGAAACAGCACGAGGAACAACUCCGAGUAGUACUUGAAACCUUGAGGAAUGAGAAAUUAUAUACCAAAUUCAAGAAGUGCGAAUUUUGGCUUGAUCAUGUAGGUUUCCUUGGUCAUGUGGUCACCGCCCAAGGAAUCGAAGUAGAUCCUACAAAAGUAGAAGCAGUAACAAAUUGGCCAAGGCCGAGCAAUGUCGGUGAAGUUCGCAGUUUCUUGGGAUUGGCUGGUCAUUAUAGAAGAAUCAUUGAAGGCUUCUCAAAAAUAGCAGGGCCGAUACCCAACUGACGAGAAAGGGGCUGAAGUUUCAGUGGACAGAAAAAUGUGAGAAAUGUUUUCAAGAACUCAAGCAGAGACUAGUUUCAGCUCCUGUAUUGACGAUACCAGAUGGCUCUGAUGGAUUUGUGAUUUACAGCGAUGCCUCCAAACAAGGUUUAGGCUAUGCAUUGAUGCAACAUGGAAAAGUGUUUGCUUACGCCUCGAGACAGUUAAAGCAGUAUGAACAAAACUACCCAACACACGAUUUGGAGCUUGCAACAGUAGUUCACGCCUUAAAGAUAUGGCGUCAUUAUCUCUAUGGUGGGAAGUGUGAAAUUUAUACAGACCACAAGAGUCUCAAAUACUUUUUCACAUAAAAGGAACUGAAUAUGAGGCAGAGGAGAUGGUUGGAGUUAGUGAAAGAUUAUGACUGCACAAUUCAUUACCAUCCGGGUAAGGCUAAUGUAGUUGCAGAUGCCUUAAGCAAAAAGACGGGAGCGCAGUUAGCAGUUUUACCUACGGUGCAAGAACACUUGAUAAGGGACUUUGAGAAACUAAGAUUGGAAGUUAUCACACCGCCAACUCAGACUACUGCAAGAAUAAGAGCAUUUAUGAUUCAACCAACUCUUCGGGAUCGAAUUAAAGAAGCACGGGAUAAGGAUCUGUUUUUACAGAAGAUUAAAGCUGAGAUUGGUACAAACAAGCGUAUAGGAUUUGAGGUAUCUGUAGAUAAAGUAUUGACUUUUAAAGGAAGGUUGUGUGUACCUAAAGAUGAAAGUAUAAGAAAUGAGAUAUUGGAAGAGGCUCACUCUACUCCGUAUUCCGCACAUUCAGGUGGUACGAAAAUGUAUCGAGAUCUCCAAGAUACAUUUUGGUGGAGAAACAUGAAGAGAGGAAUUGGUCUAUUCGUUGAAAAAUGUAUUAUCUGUUAACAGGUCAAGGCAGAACAUCAAAAGUCAACAGGGCUACUGAAACCGUUGGAUAUUCUAGAAUGGAAGUGGGAACACAUAACGAUGGACUUUGUGGUAGGCCUCCCGAGGUCAACAAAAAGUCACAAUGCUAUCUGGGUAGUGGUGGAUCGUCUAACAAAGUCAGCCCAUUUUCUACCAUCAAAGUAAACUUCAACAUGGAACAGCUCACACAGUUAUACAUCAAAGAGAUUAUCAGAUUGCAUGGAAUUCCAGUCACCAUUGUUUGAGAUAAAGACCCGAGGUUCACAUCUAAAUUUUGGAAAAGCUUGCAGAUAGCCAUGGGGACGAAACUGAAAUUUAGCACUGCUUAUCAUCCUCAGACGGAUGGACAAUCAGAAAGAACCAUUCAAACUCUGGAAGAUAUGUUGAGAGCAUGUAUUCUGGAUCUUGGAGGGAGUUGGGAAAUACACCUACCUUUAGUAGAGUUUGCUUACAACAAUAGUUUUCAAGCCACUAUAGGUAUGGCCCCAUAUGAAGCCCUUUAUGGUAGAAAGUGCAGAUCCCCUAUCCAUUGGGACGAGGUCGGGGAAAGCAGAAUUUUGGGUCCUGAAAUCAUUGAACGAACAGUUGAGGCAGUUGAUAAAAUUAGAACAAGAAUAAAGGCAGCACAAGACCGUCAGAAAAGUUAUGCUGACAGUAGAAGAAAAGAUUUAGAAUUUCAAGUGGGCGACAAGAUUUUUCUAAAGGUAGCACCAAUGAAGGGUAUAUUGAGAUUUGGAAAGAAAGGGAAGUUGAGACCAUGAUUUAUUGGACCUUUCGAGAUUCUCUAAAGGAUUGGUGUUGUAGCUUAUCGACUUGCCUUACCACUUGAACUUGCAGCAGUGCAUAAUGUAUUCCAUGUUUCGAUGCUUAGAAAAUAUGUUCAUGAUCCCAAUCAUAUGGUAAGUUACCAAACUUUGGAGGUACAAAAAGAUCUAUCAUAUGAAGAAAUUCCAACGAUGAUUCUGGAAAGAAAAGUACACCAACUCAGAAACAGAGAAGUUCCCCUGAUCAAAGUGCAAUGGCGAAAUCAUGGACGAGAAGAGUCAACAUGGGAGAAGGAAGAAGAGCUUAGAACCAAGUAUCCAGAGCUCUUCGAUUAGCCAAGGUAAAUUUUCGAGGACGAAAAUAUUUUAAGGAGUGGAGAUUGUAAUGUCCCGAAAAUUCAUAAAAUAGAAUUUAAGUUAUGUGUGCUAUAUUUUAAUAUUUCCAAAAGUUAGGGACUAAAAUGUAUAUAGCAAAUUUCAAUUUCAUUUGGGUUAAAAUGUAGAUAUUGACGGAGUAAUAAUUUGUAUAUGAAUAUUGGGCGCGUUGGAUAGAUCGUAAUUAAUCAUGCAUGUUAGGCUCAAGAAAAAGUUGAUUUGGAUAAUUUAAGCCUAAGAUAUUGACAUUUAAAGAAUUUGAUGUUUUAUAGUAUUUUAAUUAAUUUAAUGGGUAUUUGUCUUUGAGCCUUCCACUUGGUUAGUGUUAAAUCCAUCCUAAUCACAAAUAAUAUAUAUUAUAACUUUCCACCACUAGCCACGUUUCACGUUGAUAAGAAAUGUUUAACUGUCUUCCUAAAUUAUUUGGAUAAGUUUAUCAUUUGAAGCCUUUAUCCAAGUUUUUUGUGGCACACGUUUUCACCACUCUAGAAUUCUAUUUGCACCAAAAUACUCCACACAGCAUAUGUAUAUGUAGACGGCAGUUUCAAAUUGGGAAUUGUUUCCAGCAUAAAUAAUGAACAAAAAGGGUCCCGAAAGGCAGUUUUCACUCUAAGGCAGCCAAGAAAGAACUACAAGAUUUGGAACAUAAUUUUGGAUUUCUUCUUUCAAGAAUUUAUUCAAUCUUACGAUGUAGGAUUACGAUGUGCAAGUGGUUCGUCUCGUUUAAAUUAUUUAUUCAUGUUGAUAAAUGUUAUACUCAUAAAAGUUAUGAUAUGAUUAUGAUAUUUUGAAAUGGCAACCCGGUACCAAAGAGAUGAUAUGAUACGACAUGAGCUCUUACCGGUUCUAAAGAUAUGAUAUGAUGAUUAGAACGGGUCGUUUGUUGGCGAGCGGUGUGGUGGAAUUGUGAUGCCAGAAAUUAUGGAAUUCAAGAUAAAUAAAUUCUGAGUAACAUGAUUAGGAAGUUUUAUUUAUUUAUUUUUCUUUGCGUUAUUUCAAUUUUAUCAUCAUGUUAAAUUUGAAAUUUAAUGUUUGAAACAUGGUUCAGUUAAUUAUGUUUUCCAUAGAAUGUUUGACAUCAUUUAUUUAAUUACGAAAUAAAUGUUUUUGGUAACGAUUCCAAAUCUUUAAAUUUUGGAUCGUUACAGGCGAUGUCAUAGCAAGAGUAUUGAAGGCCAUUGUGCUUGGUGAUCCAUAAAAAUUUACAUAUGAAAGUAGCAAUGAGACAGGUCACAUGCACAUUAAAUGUCAGAAGUCAUAGGUCACACACAUACUACAUGUCUCAAUUCACAAAUGCAGUUACAAGUUACACAAUAGUUAGAGGUCAUAUAAAUAAAAAGUCACAGGUUACAAAUAUAAUACAAUUUAAAUAUCACAAACUCAUCAGAGUUCACAAAUUACAACUCACAAAGUAAUACAAGUCCAUAACAAAACAAAAGUGCAAGUGUCUAUUCAUUUAACAUAGAUCAAAUACAUUUAGCCCAUGUUUGAACCUUAUUUUUUUCAAACUCAUUUUCAAUCGCACAUUCUUUCAUAAAAUAAUUUUACACGUAUACCUAAAGCUUUUUUUUUACCACAUUUUCCCAAAUAAUCAUGGGAAAAUUGUAGCAGUUAUUUCUAAUCUUUCACUUUUUUUUUGCAAAUUUUACCAUAACAUUCAAUUUGUGCCACCCACAGUUCCAAACCUUUCAAAAAUAUACGCAUCGAAAUCGUUCAUUUGACCGUUAGUUGACCAAUAAAAUUAAGUUUUGACCAAUUUAAAAGGGUAAAAGAGUAAUUUUGCUAUUUUACCCUAUAAAACAAUUAAAAUAAAUAACUAAAACAAAAUAAAAAUAAAUAAAAGGAAAAAACUAUUCGCCUCUUUCUUCACCCCACCCAAAACCACCGCCCAAAUCCACUGAAACAAGACCUCCGCCUCAACUCUCCAAAUAGAGGUGACCCACUAGAGGUGAGCCAGUAGCUGUACUCGUUGCACUAUCAUUCUCCCUUUUCUCCGCUACGUGCACAAUGGCACUCUCCGUCUACACCACAGUAUAACUAAAUUUUCUACUCUUAUAUUCAUCGCCAAGGAUAUAAUAAUUUAUAUAUUCGCAUUUGUUUCGGAGUUCUCAGAAAUUGGAGAAGACGCCGAAAUCGUUCCUCUUUUAUUUUCUCUUCUUUUUCUUGCAGUUAGUGUGAGUGGGUGAUGAUGCUGGAGGGAAGGUCGAUCGAGGUUGGAGCAGGAAAAAGUGGAGAUGGUGGUGGACGAGAUGUCACUGUUUUCCAUGACGGAGAGUAUUUUGAAGGAGAAAUUGCGCUCUUCGGAUCUCAACCCUAUGGAUAGCGGUGUUCGACGGAGGCGAAGGUCUUGUUUAGGUGGAUUCGGCAAUGGGAUGGGGUUGGAGGUGAAUAGUUUUUUUCUUUUAUUUUUAUUUUGUUUUAAUUAUUUAUUUUGAUUGUUUUAUAGGGUUAAAUAGCAAAGUUGUCUUUUUAUCCUUUUAAAUUGGUAAAAAUUCAAUUUUAUUGGUCAACUAACGAUCAGAUGAACGGUUUCCAUCCAUUUGGAUUUCAAAUGCAUAUUUUUGAAAAAUUUGGGACUGUGAUUGGCAUAAAUUAAAAAUUAGAGUAAGGUUUGCAAAAAAUAAAAGGUUAGGGACCGCUGCUACAAUUUUCUCAAAAAUCAUUAGGCCAAAACCCAAAAAGGGGCCUCAAAUGAGGUUUAAACCAUAUUUGAUGGGCCUUUUUUUUAAUUUUUUUUUUUUUAAUAGUCGUUUUCAUUUACACAUUUACCCGUUAAAACAUAAUGCAAGUAAAUUCAAGACUUUUCUAUUUUUCAACCGCAUAUUUUUCAAAAUUUUACUAUUUAAUUUUUUAUUAUUAUUAUUUUAUUUAUAUAAUGGCCAUCAAUGGGAGCUUAGCGUUGUUUAGACGUUAUGAUGCUGGGAUCUCUUCGGUAGAGGAAGAAGAAGAUAAAACCGUGGAACUCUCGGGACUCCCAGGGAAAAGGGGACCUAAACCAGCUAAGAUACUCCGGUUUCUGUUCGUCGCUGAUGAAGGAAAAUCAAUGUUAAAUACAGCUAAGUUGGAUGGUGCAACGCCUAUUUUUCAAAACUAUUCUACUCAUGCCAAAGAUGCAGUUCUGGUCACAUUCCACAACUGGUUGACAGGGGAUUUAUUGAAUAUUUUUUAUGAGAUUUUUAUUUUCUCCAGUUCUUUUGUACCAUUAUUUAUUGCCUUAAAUCUUGUAUAUGCAGAAUUUGUUCAUCAAUUAUUGCAAUGAGUUGAUAGCUCUGCUUUGAGAAUCCAAGAAAUUCGUGGAAUUUUGAUUGUCAUUUUCGAGAGUUAAGCGACCCAUUUGAAAUUUAUUUAUUAUUAUUAUUUUUUUAAAACUCAUAAUAAGCUAAAAUUUUUGCACCCACGUCAAGGGUUUGCAAAUAAAGUUAGCGCCUUUGGUUCCUUGAAGCCUCAGAAUCAGGACGUUAGGUUUGAUUCGAAAAGAGAACAUAUAAAAUUGGGGAAAAGUGUUUGUGUUAACGCCAGUUCUAGUACCCUUUUGGAACUUGUGCCUGAAACCAGGAAAAUUUUGAAUUUGAGAUUCCCAUGUAUGAUCCUUCUAAGGGCCUUGUGGUGGAUCUAGCUGUUGUAGGUGGUGGCCCUGCAGGACUAGCGGUCGCACAGCAUGUUUCAGAAGCUGGGCUAUGAGUUUGCUCGAUUGAUCCUUUACCCAAAUUGAUAUGGCCCCAAUAAUUACGUUGUUUGGGUUGAUGAAUUUGAGGGCACGGAUUUGUUGGAUUGUCUUGACGCCUCCUGGUCGGGUGCUAUGGUUUUCAUUGACGACAAGACAACUAAAGAUCUUGAUAGACCUCGUGGGAGGCUAACAGGAACCAGCUGAAAUCGAAAAUGAUGUAGAAAUUCAUUUUGAAUGGCGUCAAAUUUCAUCAAGCUAAGAUUGUGAAAGUAACUCACUAGGAAUCAAAAUCUUUGUUGAUUUGCGAUGAUGGUGUUACCAUUCAGGCUGCUGCUGUGGUUCUUGAUGCGACCGGAUUUUCCAGAUGUCUUGCACAGUAUGAUAAGCCUUGUAUAGCUUACAGGAUUUGAGCAGAAGUGGAAGAACACCCUGUUGAUGUAAAUAAAAUGGUUUUCAUGGAUUGGAAUGACUCACAUCUCAACAAUAAUAAAGAGCUGAAGGAGAGAAAUAGCAAGAUUCCAACUUUUCUCUGUGCAACGCUAUUUUCAUCGAAAAGAAUAUUCCUUGAAGAAACAUCCCUUGUAGCUCGUCCUGGAGUUCCUGUGGAUGACACUUAAGGAAUGAAUGGUAGCUCGGCUGAGUCACUUAGGUAUAAAUAUUAGAAGCAUUGAAGAGGAAGAGCAUUGUGUAAUUCCAAUGGGGGGCCGUCUUCCAGUUUUACCUCAGAGAGUUGCUGGGAUUGGCAGUACAGCUGGGAUGGUGCACCCGUUGACUGGGUAUAUGGUGGCAAACUAUUGGCAAUGACUCUGGCCAAUAGAAAGUAGACGCCUAAGCGAAUUCUUUUGUUUUGGUAUGGACAUUCUUCUCAAGCUUGAUUUACAAGCCACCCGAAGGUCUUUUAAUGCUUUUUUCGACUUGAAACCUCGUCAUUGGCAUGGAUUCUUGUCACCUGGGCUAUUUCUUAUACAUCUCAUACUUUUCGGGCUCUCUUUUUGCUCAUUCCAACAAUACUUCUAGGAUAGAGAUCAUGGCAAAAGGCACUGCUCCUUCUGUAAAGAUAAAGACAGAGAGCCCACAAUUUUCAUCCCUGUAUGUCAACCCUAGGUGCGAUAUCUCUUUAUUGCUUUAACCUUUUAAGUAAAUGCAGUACGAGUUAGCUUCUUUUCAUCGCAUCUUUUUUGAGUUUCCUCUUUCUGAGUGAAGGAUUAUGUUGACUGAGCUUAUCAUUGUACAUAACUACAGAACAUAUAAUCAUAUCUUUCCAUACAGAAGUGUAAUUUUUUGUGCCAGUUAAGUCCAUCGGUAUCAUUUUAGUAAGCUGUUAAUUUCAUUUUCUCUGCCUGCUAUGUCUACUGGAUUUUCUCUACUUCAAAAUUUCGUCAUGUCUCUAUUAUCUCCAUACAAUCCUAAGUAUAAAAAGUGAAAAAUAAAAGAUGAACACAAGUUAGUAAGAAUAAAAAAGAAAAAGAAAAAGAAAAAAAAAAUACUCUCCCGGUCAGACUCAACUUGUUUUCCGGUGGACGUAUUUCUGCCUCAUCUCCAAGUUAAAUGCAACCCAAAUCAUGAAGCCUCUGGAAAUCUAAAACAUAUUUUUCCUUUUCUCCUUUUUCAUAGAACAGAUUCUCAUGAUUGUAGCAAUAAUCUGGUGUACAUUUGAAAACUACCAGACAACAUGGCAAGACAAUAAGCAAUCACCCAAAAAUUGGCUGUAGUCCUAGAAUAUUUCCGCUGUAGUCCUAGAAUAUUUCCUUUCCAAUGUUGUAAUUACUGAAACAUUGGCAUGUAUACUGUAUAUAUUGUCUUUCUCAACACUCGAUCAACUAAAAUUCUUUAGUAUUAUAAAACUCAUUUCACAGCUAUACUAAUUCUGCCAUAUGGAUAUACUUUUUAGUUACACUACACCUAGAAUUCUCUACCCGGAAGAUGGCAAGAGGCUUAAUAUCGUAAUUUAAGACAUUAAGGCUUGUUCAUUAUCAGACAGAAGAUCCUUGAAUUGACGAUCUCAGUACUCCAUUAUUCUCAACAUAUCCAUCCAUAAUGCUAUUGUAGUAUUGCCUUGUUUUUGUUUUUGUUUUUGUUUUUUUAAUGCAGUUAAAUCUUGCCCCUCACUUGAUUUAAUUUCUUGCUCCGCCUCUUGCAGGAUUAGUUACAGUAAAAAUCAAUGAUUAGGGAAUUAAACAAAUAGUCUGAUUAAACAUGCACAUCACAUACAAUACCACAAAAAUAGGAAUUUAUUUUGAUUGCUUUAAAUGGACAGUGACAUACUAAGUGGAGAGAAAUUUUAUCCUAGAAUCAAAUUGGGCUCGUCGGUUCAACUGGAAAAAAAAUGGAAAGUGAUCCAAAAUCUGGUCCCGUAGCAUGUAAUUUCCACAAGAUGAAAACUAUAAAAAACGGUAGUUUUAGGAAAUUUACAUGAGAGAAAGGAUGAUUCUUUUGAAUAAUUUGUUAAUAUCUUCAAUUAAAUGUUAUUCAUUACAACAACAUACGAGGAGUUCAUUAAGUACACAACAAAACCCAAAUGAAUAGUAAAAAAAAACCAACACACAAAAAAACCCAAACGAACAGUGUUAAAAAAAAAAAAAAAAAAAAAAAAUUUAAAAAAAAAAAAAAAAAAAAACAUUUGCAAAUGAAGAGCUUCUCCUUGUAGGAGAUGCUUGUCUCCUUAGGAUCGUGGAAAAGCAGAAAAAUAUGUCUGCCCCGUACUAAGGGCAAGGGCAAAAAUUGCACCUAGAAAGGCAAGGACGGUCCAAGGACUGCUGAAAUGUUUGUGCAUCGAUUCAGCUAUCCAAUACCGGCAUUUAUUCCUGCAAUACGUGUCAAUCUUCCCCUUAGCAUAUGCAUAUGCGUAAGGAUCAGGUACCAAACCAUCAGCUAUCUCGUUAAAGAGUGUGGCCAAGUGUUCGUCACUGCCUAGAUUGUUGACAAGAAUUCCCUUCUUUCGGAGCUCUUUAACAUCAUUGGCAUGAUCAAUGAGUGAAUCCAUUAGCCAAAUGUAUGACGUAAUGUGAGAAUCAUGAGGGCCAUUAGGACUCAUUUCAUAAGCCACUAAGUUUAAUAGCAAAGGUUUUGUUGUAUCAUCAACGAACAAAGGAGGGAGCAUCAUAGUUCCAUAAACAAGGUGAUCUUUGAACAUUACAUCAGUAACGCAAUGAGUUUUACUUGCUCUGAAACGAAUUCCCGCUUCUUCGAGCUCUGUUACUGAACGAUAGGAAUUCCAUUGAUCUGAUUCAUCCAUGGUUCCCUCUUUAUGAUUAGGCUUAGCUAGGCCGGCGAGAUGUUUACUCAUUAGGUCUAGAAGGUGAGGGCUUGCAUCCAAUUGUAAUUUUCUUUUGUCGUUUGUUUGACCACCAGGACAGUGGUCAUUGACAAACUUCUUGACCGCAUCACAGCAGCUUUUAUUGACAAAUUUCUUGACCGCAUCACAGCAGCUUUUAUUGACAAAUUUCUUGACCAAAUUAGUGCAUGAAGUUUUUUCAGGUGGCCUUGGGAAAAGGUCAAGGAAAUCCGAAAUCAACUCUGUAUUAUCUCCGAACCUGGAUUUCAACAAAACUUCUAGUACUAGUAAAGGAAUUUGAUUCUCUAGCAAGAACAAGUCCCUCCACACAAAAGCACUGAGGUAACUCUUCAUUGUGGGUAGUUGAUCUUCUUCUUUUGGUUUUAUCGUUGUUAAGAUGUACAUAUAUUGAAGCACAAAGCAGGCAUCAAGAAACAUCAUUUUGGUGAACGAUUCAUUGUCAUAGCAUGUAGUUGUGCCUUCCUCAUAGUAUUCUCGGGCACUGUCAGCCACCUUCGCCACCUCUGCAUAUAAUUGAUUGAUAGAUAUUUGAUCACCACAGGCAAGGCAGAAUUGAUUUGCAAAUUUAAAUUUUAGCUUCUCUACUGCUUCGAGCUCUGGAUUUCCAUGAUGAUAAGGGCCUAUUGAAACUACGAGAGGAACAUAACAUUUUUUGUUGGAUUCAACCUCACGCAGCAUUGAUGGAACCUUUUCUAUUCGCUGUUUCUUUGUUGUGUCUUCAACAUAGUUCUUUAUAUUGAUUAACCACUCAUCCACUCUAAUUUUGUUGCAAGCAUGAAAUUGCGUCUGCACAUAUUAUUAGGUUGGAAAUUUUGGUAAAGCGUCGUGUUUGUUGAUACUACAGUUUGAAUAAAUAUGAUAUUAUACAUUUGUACACGAAAAUGAUACACAUGUUAAGACUUAAUGAUAAAUGAACUUGAUGACAACAUCAAACAACCAACAUCAAGCAAUUAUCAGUGGCAUAUAGGCCAUCAACGUGGAGAUUUGAUGAUAGGAUGGUGAAAGUCGAACAAAAUAAAAUUUAUAGUCUUUCAUUAUUUAAAAUUAACAAGACAUUGGUUUCCUAUCAAGUAUAGAUACAAAUUUUACAUUAUAAAAUUGAUACCAAAUAUUUUACCAUAUCAAAAAGAUCGGGUUGAAUGUUUGGUAAAGCUUAGAUUUUCAUUUUUCAUUUUUUAUUUUGGUUACACAUGCUUUUAGUUCACACACACACACACACACACACACACACUUUUUUUUUUUUUUUUCAUAGAACCUAAAUUUAGGGUUGGCAACGGUUCGAUUGGGUCAAAAUCAUCACCGAACCACCAAAUUUUUGGUCUUACCAUUACUGCACCAUAACCACUUAAGUUAGAUCGAUCCGACUCGAUUCGUAUCUCAGGUCGGGCUGUUAAUAACCACAAAAUAAAUUAUUCUUUUAUAGGCCCAGCCAUCAAAUUGAAAAAAAAAAUUAUGAAAAAGAAAGUCAAUGAAAACAAAAACACAAUACUAAGUCAAUUAGCAAAAACAAUAGUCGAAACAAUGGGUAGAGCAAGUAGAGAUAAAGUUUCCACUUGGGAUGAACUAAAACUUUUUUUUGGGCCAACCUUUUUACUAUGCCCUACACAGACCUAUCUAUUUUCUAAAAUAAUUAACUUACAAAUAUGUACCAUCUUUCAUAUUGAGAAUUUAUGUGAAUGAACUAGAAUUUUGGUGGAGAAUUGUUACGUAUAUGAAAUUACAAUGAAAUUAGAUUUAGAAAUUGCCGAGACUUUUUGUAUCCCGUAUAUAUUAUUUUCUCGUUUAAAGGACUUAAUUUUAUAUAUAACACUCUCUUGAAAGAACAAUUUAUGAUUAUUUUUUGUGUAACACAGUAUUAAUUAAUAAGCAAUAAGGAUUAAGAUUAAUUAGCUAGUAGUAAAAUGUGCCUAUAUUAACAAUCGGACAUUAUGAUAACCAAUAAAAGACAAAAACGCAAAGUAAAAAAGUUUUAAGGAAAAUGUUACCAUUCGCUCCCAGGGUAAGCCUUGCAUUUUUAUGUUGUGCAUAGACUUGGAAAGUACAGUGUUGGAGUAAUAAGAAAAUUAUGUUUUGUUAUUGUAUGACAUAUGAAUUAGUCUUAUAUUUAUACAUGUCAUAAGAAGGGAAUCUCUUAGACAAACUUAAUUUUGUAAAUCACUUUAGAAAACUUCCUACUUAAUUUUGAGCAAAUGAUAAGCAUAGAAUAAUUUUACAUAGUAAAGAUUAUGCUUUUCAGAAUAAAAUUUUAUCUUUCCAGCCAUCCAGAGUUAUAAUUUUGUCUCUUCUUCCAUUAUAAUGUUUUCCUCUUUUGCUUCUCUUCUCCAUUUUUAGAGUAUGAUAUUGUAUACUCUUUGGUACAUUGUAAAGUCGAGCAAGAUUACAAACUCAAGAAAUAUUUAAUUUGACCAGAAGCACAAUGAGCUUAAGAUACAAUAUUUUGGUAACUUGUUAGUAGAGUUCACAAGAAAUUGUAACACGGCCGUAGAACAAAGGUUAGCACUUAGAGUUAACAAGUAAAUAAGUUCCAUUAAACUAUCUAAAAGGAUGUGACUUGAUCUCUCGAUGAGUUUCAGUAAAAUAUUAAAGUUCGACUUAAACAACAAAAAGAUGGUGUAUAUAAUAGAUUUACAAAAUGGUUUAUAUAUAGAUGAAAUGUCAAAAAGACGGUAGAGAAGUUUUUUUUUGUUGAAAAAAUUAUGAGCCAAUCAUAUUUCACUACAUCAUUUAUAUGUAAAUCAUUAUAUACAUAUAGCAUAAUCGUUGUAAAAGCGUCUUGUCAAAAUUCAUUUUAACUUGUAUCUCAUGCAAAUCCUAGUGUUAUAAUUGAUUACAAUCGUAUUAUAUACACUUUUACAUGUAUCUCGUGCGAAUCCUAGUGUUGUGUAUAACACAAAUAGAAUUAUUUUAAGCAACUUUAACAAGCUUGGAAUUGUAAUAUGAUUUGUUCCCACUUGGUGCCUUUUUUCUUUUUUUUCAUCAUCAUCACAAGUUUGGAAUAUUAACAUGCUAAACACAAGGAAUAAUCAAACACAACAGACACACCAAGCAAGGUGUGAAACUGCAAGUUAUUAAAAUAUCUUGAUAGAUUAGUGUUUUUUUUUUUUUUCAUUAUAAUCACUCUUUCGUAUUUUGUCAAGAUAAUAGAAAAUCGAGAUAUAUAAGAAUGAAAUUUUCAUUUAUCAAGUGGUGGAGAUUAGUGUCAACGUCUCAAACAUAGUGAAGUGAAGUAAACAAUAUCAUUUGUGCUCCUGUUUUUUUAUUCAAAACCAAAAUCGACAAUUAAUUUUAACCAAAUAUUGAUCCACAACUUUAUCAAUUUUUUAUUAAAAUUUACUAAAAAUAUGAUUUUAAUCCCUAUUAAAUAGGGGCUAUUUAUAUAUUAAAGAAGAAAAAGAGUUAUAAUCUUAUUAUAUAUUGCUUAAACAUAUUUAGUACUUCACGCCAACCAUGUUAUGCUAAAAUCUCACACAAGUACAGAGAAGCAUAAUAAGUAAUAAAUUGAUCUAAGAGUCCGAAUUAUCAUUUUCGCGAGGAUCUCAUAUUUUGCUUAAUAUUAACUUUAACUCAAAUAGCAAAAUUGUAUGGUGAUUAUGAUUGAAUAUUCAAACUCUAUGAACUAACUAAAUAUAAAGCGUUAAACUAAACCACAAAGCGUUUAUGAACAUUCUUUUAACUAAAAUCAAUAGGACCUCGAAAUUCCCUAUAUUCUUCCAUUUUAAUAUCAACCCAAGUAAUUGACAAUAAUUAUUUAGACUCGACGAUCAAUUUUUUUAUUUAAUAAACUCUCUUGAGUAAUGUUAAAUAUAUUUCCACAUAUAACCUUGUUAUAUUUGUACGAAGAGUGUGAAUAAAUGAAAAUGGAUUAAAGUUAAUUAAUCUCUCUUGAGUGAAUAAACGAAAUUCCCUAUAUUUGUACGAAGAAUGUGAAUAAAUGAAAUUCCCUAUAUUCUUCCCUUUUAAUGUCAAAUAUAUUUCCACAUAUAACCUUGUUAUAUUUGUACGAUCAAUUUUUUUAUUUAAUAAUCUCUCUUGAGUAAUGUUAAAUAUAUUUCCACAUACAACCAUGUCAUGCAAAACAUAUUGGUAUAUUUAUUUAUUUUUUGUCAGAUUGUUACUACUUACUACAAUUCCUAUUCCUUCCCUCAAGAAAAAGAAUCACGAAUUCAUUCAAUUAUUGAUCAAGUAACUGAAAGCAUUAAUAACCUAACAAUCAAUCAAGCUAAACAAAUAUUUAACAUCAAAGUAAAAUUAAUAUUAAAUUUCAAAAUAUAAUGUUCAUCGUCAUCAUAUUAUCUAUAAAAUUAGGCAAACAUCAUAAAAUUACAAAAACGUGUUUGGAAAUAGUAAGACUGUAAUGCCCCAAAACCUAUGCACCAGAGGUUACUUGAAUAAUCGCUUUAACCAUUAUAAAAGUUUAUUGACGCAUUAUAACAUAUAAAAAAAUUUGAAGAAACGUAGCGGAAUACACUAAACUAUUUUUUGUCUCAUAAAAAGUCACAUAAAUUUAAACCACUAAUGAAAUAUAAAUUUAGCACUUAUUUUUUAAAAAUUCAACAUUGAUUUAAAAAAAAAAUUCUAAUUUAACUAAAAAAAUGUUUUCUAGCUAUAUACUAAAUAUUAAAAGAAAAUCUUAAAUUCUUGAUCUAGCAACACGGACUCUGUCAGCGGUUUCAACUUCCAACUCCGAUCCAUCAAAUGUCUGUAAAAAUAAUUUAAAAUAUGGAAUGAGCAUAUGAAUAUACUCAGUAUAGAUUUCAUCUCAGUAUUUUCAUGAUUUAAUAUGAAAAGCAAGUAAAAUACUUACAUAACAUAACUUUUUUAGUAGGAUAAAAAACUGAUCGUCUCAUUCUCACUUAAAUCAUACUCAUUCUCAAUCUCCACUUAGGGUAUUUAACCAUGUGGCUGGUUUUCGUGUAGAUCUACAUAUUAGUGCCCCCAUGGUGUUUCCCACAACAUCUUUCUUUAGUUUGGAUCACAUAAUAGCACAUAAAAUACUUAGCUUAAAACAUUAAAAAGUGAAAACACAAAAUCACUCGGUAUUUAGAGAAAUUCAUACCUAUUCGUUAAAUUCCUUGUGUGCUUGAGCUAUUUAGGAUUGAAAAUUCUGGCGAACGAAUCUCAAACACGCCGAAAAAUUUUCUUUUCUUUUCUUUCCUUUCUCUCUCUUUCUUUCAUACGUUUUUUUUCUUUCUUUCUACCUCUCUAAAUUUGCAUGAAUUAAAGUGCACAAUAAGAGGAUAUUUAUAGGUGUGAUAAUGAUAAUGAUAUACUUCGAAUUUAAAUUGGACUCUCAACAAACAACCUUAUCAAAUAAAAUUUAAUUACAUGAGGAUAAUAUUCUAGUAUAAAUAUUUUAAAAUCCUAAAUUUAUCUAAACACCUUUAUAUUAAAUCAUCCGAUAAUAAUUCAACACAUAUCCAAACAUUAAAUUUUAAUUUCGUUAAAAAUCUUAUUUUCAUAGGUAUGAUAAAAUUCUAACCUUCUUUAAAUACUUUCAUAUCAGAUAAUUCAAUUAUAAUUUAAUAGAUGUCCCAAAUUUAAUUUUAUGUGAAACUCAUAUAAAUUCAAUUAUUAGGAAUAUUAACACAAGAUCCUAGAAAAUGGUUAAGUUGCUUAGUCACCCUAAAAUUUCAAAACGUAUAGUUAUCCCUCAUAAUAUAUUGUACAAAUAUUUUGGGUAUAACAUCCUCCUCUCUUUAAAAAAUUUCGUCCUACAAAUUUACCUUGGUUAUCAAAAACUUGUGAGUAUUUAGCUUUAAUAUCUACUGUCACACGUUUUAUGCAACAUGAUUUAUACUGCAAGUGUACGAUGUCAACUUUUGUAAUAUACUAUUAGAGUAAGAGUGUCGAACCCAUAUUGAUUGAUAUUUAAAUCAUUUUGAGUACUAUAAUUAUUUCAGCUUUCACUUUAUUUAGAAAAUCAAAAUUUAACACGAUGUUUUAUACUAAAUGAGAUGAACGAUGCAAGUAAAUAAGGGCAAUUUGAAAAGUUUCUUAUCAAAUUAUGAAUGCAUAGGGAGUGAUUUCACCGUACUAUCGACAAUGUUUUUCAACCGUUAUAACUAUUUCUAUCAAUGUUUCCAAAAUUUAUAGGCAAGAACACUAAAUUAAUUUCAUUUCCCUCUCGAGAGAGUCAAAUAGAAUCUAUUUCUAUAUUUUAAUUUCAAUAUCUCUAUUCCGAACUAAAACAUAAAAAUCAUCAAGCACUUUGUUCUUAAUUUAAACAAGCCUCAAAGAUAUCGCAUUUUCUCUCGAAACCUACAAAAUCUAGGUUAUGUUGUCUUAGAUCACACCUAAAUUUGUCUCUCUCGAGCACCGAAAUUUAAAGUAUCAAUCAUUCAAUUAGUGGCCAGUUAAUUGAAAGUAUUACACAAGAAUCAACAUAAAUAAAUAAGCAGAAAGAUUAAAUAAAAUAAUUAUAUCGGAAUCAAAACAUGUCUAAGGAUGUUACAUCAAACCCUAGAAUUAAUGUUUAGUUCAUGAUGGAAGAAUUAAAUCUAAAUAAAUUGAUGAAUAACAUAAAGAGAAAAAGAAAGAAAACCUCUUUUGAAGCUUUUAAUUGGAAAUUCCCUUGAUGUUCUUCAUGCCUCAUUGCCCUUGAUGAAUUGUCUUCAAUCUUGCCCCCUUCAAUUGUUGUGUUUGGCCCUCAUCUUCUUUUUCAAAAUAGGGUUUUUUGAAUGGUAUUUAUAGUAUGUUGGGAUCUUGGACGAAUUAGGGUUGGAUUGGGCCAAGAAAAGAUUCCAAAAAUAUAAAAGACGUGUUUUCCUGCACAUCCGGUGUCGAUAUGGGCACUGCGGCACCAGGCUUGCUGCUCAAAUUCAGAUUCAUGGGCACUGCAGCGCCCAGAUUGGGCGCCUCGGCGUUUGGUUCGGUCAGAAAUGACAGACUGCACACUUUUCAGUAUUUUUAACAUAACUUCUUUGUCCAAUGUCCGAUUGAGGUGAUUUAAGAUGCAUUGAAAAGUUAACUCAAAGAGCUACAAUUUUGAUUCAGACAUUAUUCUCCAACUCGAUCGUUUGAUUUGUCAAAAACAGGUCUCAAUGUGAGUCUAAAAUUCUGGAGCGUAACUUUUCGGUUGGAAAUUGAUUUGUGAUCAUAUUUUGCCUAAAUUUGAUCCCUUUGACAUCUUUCCUCAUGCAUUUGACUCCUAACACUCUCGGAUCUUUUUCGUGAGGUUCGUACAAGUUUUGAUUAUUUGCAUUUUAGUCCCUGAAAUUUGAAUCUCUUACAAAUUGGUCAUUUUUCUUCAAUUUCGCCAACUUUUGUUUAUUUCUUUCAAUUUCAUCAACCUGCAUCGCAAUACAAAAACACUCAUUAAAAUUAUCUAAAACACUCUCAAGGAUAGGAAAAUAACGAAUGACGUGGUACAAACAUAAUGAGUAUGGAGCACUCAUCAUCUACCUCAUGUUCCUAAGUGGACUUUUCCAUCGUGUGAUUCCGCCACUGAACUUUUACUAAUGGAAUUUUUCUAUUUUUGAAGUGUUCGAAUCUUCCUAUCCAAGAUGACGCUUGGAGUUUCCUCUUAAGUUAGAUCUGAAUGAAUGUCUAAUGGUUUAGGAUUAAUCACAUGGCCAAGAUCUGAUACGUAUUUUUGAAGCAUAGAGAUAUGAAAGACAUUGUGUACUGCUAAAAGUUCAGAAGGCAAUGCCAACUCGUAAGCCACAAUUCCCACACGUUUCAAAAUCUCAAGAGGUCCUAUGUAUCUUGGUUGGAGUUUUCCGCUUUUGCCAAAUUGAACAACUCUCUUCAUAGGAGUUAUUUUUGGGAAAACUUUGCUACCAACCUCGAACUCAAGAUCCUUCAUCCUAUUAUCUGCAUAACUUUUCUAUCGAUCUUGGGCAGUCUUUAUUCUAGCCCAAAUCUUCUCAAUAGCUUAAACUGUUCGCUCAAUAAUCUCAUGCCCUAGAAUUCUUCGCUCACCAAAUUCAUCGCAAUGAGUUGGAGAUCUACACCUUCUACCAUACAAAGCCUCAUAAUGAGUCAUUCAUAUAGUAGUUUGAUAGGUAUUAUUAUAGGCAAAUUCUACUAAUCGUAGAUGUUUUUCCAGUUUUCUCCAAGAUCUAGGACACAUGCUCGAAGCAUGUCUUCAAGAAUUUGAAUAGUCCUCUCUGACUGAACAUCUGACUGUGGAUGGAAAGCUAUCUAGAAGUUUAGCUUAGUCCACGUUUCCUUGUGCAUACUUUUCCAAAAUUUUGAAGUGAUCUCGGAUCUUUAUUUGACACAAUAGAGACGAGGGUCCCAUGUAAUCUAAUCACUUCUCUAACAUAUAAUGUAAGAAGUGAACAGACUUUGUCAAUCUAUCAAUAAUAACUCAGAUUGCAUCAUUUCCUCUAUUUGAUUUUGGAAAACCAAUUACAAAAUCCAUGGCAAUGUGCUCCCAUUUCCAUUCAUGAAUUUCUAGUGGGUUUAAUAAUCCUAACGGUCUUUGAUGUUCUGCUUUCACUUACUGGCAAAACAUGCACUUCUCUACAAUUAGACCUAUUCCUCUUUUCAUAUUUCGCCACCAGAAUGUGUGCUUUGAAGAUCUUUAUACAUCUUUGUUCCUCCAAGAUGUGCUGCAUAGGGGGCGAAGUGAGCUUUUUCUAAUAUUUCUUUUUGUAUUUUCUCAUCCUUCGGUACACGCAAUCUUUCUUUAAACAUCAAUGUAUUAUCUUCAGCUAGCUGAAAACCUUUUCGUUUGCCAGUGCCAACUUCACCUCUAAUCUUUUGUAGAAAUGGAUCACUAUCUUGAGCUUUCUUAAUUCGAUCUCGAAUAGUAGGUUGAACUGAAAGAGCAGCAAUUUGUGCUGCAAUAUCUACUGGAGGUAAGAUCACCUCAAGUCGUAAGUUAUCUAUAUCUUUGAUUAAUGAUUUCUGUGUAGUAGGUAUAGCUAUCAAAUGUCGUACCAUCUUUCUGCUUAAUGCAUCAGCCGCUACAUUGGCCUUUCCUAGAUGAUAAUGAAUGGCACAAUCAUAAUCUUUCACCAUUUCUAGCCAUCUGCAUUGUCUCAUAUUCAAUUCCUUUUGGGUGAAGAAGUACUUUAGGCUCUUGUGGUCCAUAUAAAUAUCACAUUUAGCUUUGUAGAGAUAGUGUUGUCAUAUCUUUAGUGCAUGAACUACUGCUGCUAACUCCAGGUCAGGCGUUGGAUAGUUUUCUUCAUAGGACUUUAGUUAUCUGGAAGCACAUGCGAUAACUUUACCAUGCUACAUAAGUACACAUCUUAGACCGUGUUUAGAAGCAUCGCUAUAGAUAACAAAGCCUUCUGACCCUUUAGGUAUGGUCAAAAUUGGAGCUGAGAUCAAUUUUUGUUUUAGUUCUUAAAAGCUCUAUUCGCACGUAUCCGUCCAUUGAAACUUCACAUUUUCUCCCGUUAAUUGAGCCAUUACGAUGGCAAUCUUUGAAAACCCUUCAAUAAAUCGCCUAUAGUAACGUGUUAAUCCUAAGAAGCUACGCACUUCUCUAACAUUAGUUGGUCGAGGCCAAUUGGUAAUUGUUUCUAAUUUACUCGGGUCAAUUUCAAUUUUUUGAAUUUAGCAUAGAGCUUCUCCUUCUUCAGUAUUUCGAGAAUAAUCCUUAGGCUGAAUGUUCAUGCUCACUCUUCGAAUAGAUUAGUAUAUCAUCAAUGAAGACGAUAACAAACUGAUCCAGAUAGUUAUGGAAGACUCAAUUCAUGAGAUCCAUAAAGGUAGCUGGCGCAUUUGUCAAGCCAAAGGGCAUCACCAAGAACUCAUAGUGUCCAUAUCGAGUUCUAAAUGCGAUUUUAGAAACGUUAGUUGCUUUAAUUUUCAACUGAUGAUAACCUGCUAUUAAAUCAAUUUUCGAGAAGACCUUGGCAUCUUGUAGCUAGUCAAAUAAAUCUUCAAUUCUAGGAAGGGAAUAUUUAUUUUUAAUUGUAAUAUGAUUCUACUCUCAAUAAUCGAUACACAUUCUCAUCGAUCCAUCCUUCUUCUUUAUGAACAAUAUUAGAGCUCCCCAUAGUGAGACACUAGGUCUAAUAAAAUGCUUGUCUAGCAACUCCUACAAUUGUACUUUCAAUUCUUGAAGUUGUACUGGUGCCAUACGAUAAGGAGCCUCCGAAAUUUGCGUGGCACUCGAUACAAGGUCAAUAGUGAACUCGACUUCUCGAUUUGAAGGCAUUCCAAGUAAAUUUUCUAGAAUACAUCUGAAAAAUUCCUAACCACUAAGACUUCAUCAAUGAUUAACUCUUUCUAAUCAGUGCUGGUCAAAGAUACUAAGAACCCUUAAGCUGACUUGUACAGCCUGCACCGCUGAUAUAAGUCGGGGUAGAGGUUUCACCCUUAUUCCAAAGAAGUGAAAUUCUUCUUCACCAAGUCGUUGAAAAAUUACAUCCUUUUCGAAACAACAAAUGGUUAAAUGAUUUUUCGACAAUCAGUCCAUUCCAAGUAUAACAUCAAAAUCUUUCAUACCUAGGACCACUAAAUCUAUUUUUAUAAUCUUUCCAUCCAUUUCUAAAUUUAGGUUCCUCGCCAUGUAAUUUGCAUUAAGCACAUUCUAUAUUUGACUUUGAAACGAAUAUUGAAGAAAUGAACAAGUGUGUUGCUCCUGAAUCAAUUAAUAUAAAAAUGGCAAAUCAGAGAUUGAUAUGAUACAUGUCAUUACAUUGCAGUCGAGCUCUACCUCUUUUUGUGUCAAAGCAAAAACUCUAGCCUUGCCCACCUUUUGAGCUUCAGCCUUCUUUGAAUGUCCCUCAAUGCAAUCUUUGGCGACGUAUCCUGGCUUGCCACAUCUGUAACAGAUACCCUUUCCUGCCAAGUAUUCUCAUUUUUGAAGUUUCUGACAUUUAGGACAAAGAGGUUAUAGAUCCUUGUCACGAAUAUUGGCAUCUGUUUCUGUCCUUCCUUUCUUGUUGGGGCCUUUUCCAUUCUUCUUGCUAUUGUUGCACCAUUUGUGCUUAUCUAAGUAGACAAUCUGUUGCUUACUACUUUUAUAAAUUUGGUCAUCAUCAAAGGUGUAUACUUGAGCCUUAUCCAAAAUUCCCUGAUAAGUACCUAGUUGGAAUACUGACACUGCUUUUCUAAUGUCAGUUCUUAGUCCACACUCAAAGUAUCAAGUUCGUCUCUCUUCUGUGUCCACCAGGUGUGGGGCAAAUCUGGAUAACUCCUCAAAUUCACAAUCGGUAAGCGUUAUGUUUCUCUGCUUCAGCUCAAGAAACUCUGCUUCCUUCUUAUCUCCUAAGGUAGCUGGAGUACUACCUCUUUGAACUGUGCCCAUGUAAGGUUACACUGUUGCUCCUCGGUGUAGGACCACCAAUGACCUGCUUACUUUUCCAUCAUAAAUAUUGCACAAAAGAUUUUUUGUCGGUCAGUACAUUCCAUAAAUCUAAAGAUAUGCUCAAGAUAGCAAAACCAUUCUUCAGCAACCAGUGGAUCGGGACCACCUUCAAACACAAGUGGGUGCAGCUUGCGAAACUAUUUUUAUAAUUGAAGAUUUUCGCGGCCUGCCUCGUAGCUGUUGAGGUGUUGCUGUUGCGACAUCUCUCACAUAGUAGCCAGUAAUUCUCAUGCUAAGUUAGCUACCAUCUAAACCUUAAAUGUGGGGAUCGUAUAUUAGACGAUAAUCAAGUCAAUUCAACUAUCUUGGUAUAGCUGACGACGAUAAAAUAACGUUUCUGUUCACUAUAUUCUCAUUGUUUCUACUAAGAUUUGACUAAAUGGACUUUAUAUAUAUUAGUCUUCUUGUGGGUUUGCAAUAUUGUUUUUCGUUUUAUUGAUUGAAUAACAAGCAACUGAAAAGACUUCCAGGUAAGGAGAGGGGGACACAAGUGGGCCGCUUAAAUCACAAGCUAACCUUAGACAGUUUAAUCCUUUUUGACAAAGCCUUUUAGUCUUGUGAAUAUGCAAAUCAAGAAAACUCAAACAAUAAACUUCCCCGUUAGUAUUAUUAUUAUUAUUAUUAUUAUUAUUAUUAUUAUUAUUAUUAUUGUCAUUUGAUUUGAAAAUAACCGAACUAAUGUCAAUCUAAAUGCAUUCAUGUAGUUCAUAACUAAAUAUAUCCACUCAAAAGAUAUACACAUGACGUAGCUAUUACUACAGGAAAAUAUAAACAUGUGAUUCUACAAUAAGUGUUACAUAUAAAGCAGCUUUAUCUAAUUUAUUAAAAUUUCAACAUCCAAUAUCAUAAUCAUAAUUUUUUUUGCACUGUAAAAAAAAUCCAAAGCUCAUUAUACAGACAUUUAAAGCUAAUAAAAUGAUUUCAUACCUUAGAUCAUCAGUAUAUUUAUCUAAACACCUUUAUAUUAAAUCAUCCGAUAAUAAUUCAAUAUAUUUCCAAACAUUAAAUUCUAAUUUCGUUAAAAAUCUUAUUUUCAAGUUAUAAUAUGAUAAAAUUCUAAACUUAUAUAAAUACUUUCAUAUCAGAUAAUUCAAUAGUAAUUUAAUAGAUAUCCCAAAUCUAAUUUUAUGGGAAACUCAUAUAUAUCCAAUUAUUAGAAAUAUUAACGCAAGAUCCUAGUAAAUGGUUAAGUUACUAUGUCACCCUAAAAUUUCAAACAGCGCAUGUUAACAUAUAUAUAGUUGAAUAUAUUUGGGAGUUAUUUUUAGGGAUUAUAUUUAUCUAGUUUUCUUAUAUAUUAAAUGACUACACACACACACAAAAUAGAGAACACAAUGAAAGAAAUUUUUUUGCAAAAAUUAUCUCAAAUGGUCGGUCCCUUUUGGUCAUGGUAUCAGAGCUGGGGAAAGAGUUCUAAAGCAUUGCCUUCAUCUUCCUGUUCGACGUGUUGGUUGCCAGUUGUUGGUGGCUGUGUGGUUUCCAGCCCUUGGUUUGCAUUUUUUUCCGAUUCCGGUGCCAUUGUUUGUUGUUCUCUCUCGAAUCGUCCCAUUGGGUUCUCUCCUGUCAGCACGAACCCUCUGUUUCGAUCUUGGUGACGUCACUGUCUAAUUUCGCUCGUAUCUUUGCGUCUCUCAGGUUCCAACAACAUUGGUGGCGGCUUUUCCAGCGAAUUUUGGUUAGUUUUUACAGCUGGUGUCUUAGGUCACCAUCGUCCUUUCUUCCGAUCGAGAGAUUGUGAUGGUGAGAGCGUGUUUUUGGGUACCGAGUGCAUUUUCUUUGGUUUAAGGUAGGCGUUUACUGUUUAGGCCUUGUUUGAUUGGGCCUUCUUUUGGUUUUAAUUUGUUUGAUUGGGCUCUCAUCCGAUUGAGUAUUUACUUCAGUCAUAUUUUAGUUGGAUAAUUUGCUUCAUCAUGUCAUCAGAUAAAUUAGAAUUCUUUCCCGUUCGUUUUAAUGGCAAAAAUUACUUAGCUUGGGAAUUUCAAUUUCAAUUAUUUGUCAAAGGUAAGGAGUUAUGGGGUCAUCUUGAUGGCAGUGAUCCCGCCUCUAAAGAUGUAGAAACUUUGUCCAAAUGGAAAACCAAGGAUGCUCGGGUUAUGACCUAAAUCCUUAGUUCAAUUGAACCUCACCUUAUUCUCAAUCUGAGACCUUCUAAAACUGCUGCUAUGUAGGAUUGCCUUAGUAAUCCCACAUAAACAAGACAACACAACUAGAUGUUUUCAAUUAGAGUAUGUGAUGACACAAGGAAGUCUCUUGAUUGAAGAAUAUUUUUCAGGUUUUCAAAACCUUUAGGCUGAAUAUUCAUAUAUAAUUUAUGCUAAUGUUGCCGCUGAAGCUUUAUCGACUGUUCAGAAAAUGCAUGAGACAAGCAAAAGGGGUUAAUUCUUGAUGACGCUAUGUCCUGAUUUUGAGGUUGCUUGGUCUAAUCUGAUGAAUCGUCAUCCUGUAUCAUCAUUGGAUACUUGUUUGGGUGAACUUCUUCGUGAGGAGCAACGUAUAGUUACUCAGGCUACCAUGGAAUAUAGGGAUACUAUUAGUACUCUUGUUACUAUGAUUAUGCAGCACAAGAAAGGAAUUACAGUCGAGACAUGUGUGCUGUCCAGUGUUAUAACUAUAAAGCUUUUGGUUACAUUGCUCAAGAUUGUCCUAAGAAAUAUUGUAAUUACUGCAAGAAACAAGGUCAUCACAUAUCUGUUUGUCCCAUUCGACCAGAAAAGAAGCAUACUAAUGUCUAUCAUGCCUCUAUCGAUGCCUCUAGCCUUGUACAUUGUUCCUAAUCCUGCUUCUGCAUCCACCCUUACUCCUGAAAGGGUACAACAGAUGAUCAAUUCUUUUUUCUCUGCUUUUGAACUUUCAGGUACUCAUUCAACCUCUUCUAAGCUAUGGUUCUUUAACUCUAGAGCCUCUAACCAUAUGACCAAUAAUGUUAUUCCUCUGUCCAAUGUAAGAUAAUAUGAUGGGAAUCUAAAAAUUCACACCGCCAAUGGUAGUUCUAUGCCUAUCAGUGCUGUUGGUGACCUUUCUGCUUCUUUAACUAAUGUUUUUGUGUCUCCCAGCCUUUCUACAAAUUUAAUCUCGAUUUGUCAAUUAGUUGAUAACAAUUAUGAUGUUUAUUUUUCUCGUUCUGGUCAUGUUGUGCAAGAUUCGAUGUCCGAGAAGAUGAUCGCGAAGGGGUCUAAAGUCGGACGACUCUUUCCCUUGCAUAUUUAUCCUUUUCCUAGUACUCAUUUACUUUUAUUUGCAUGUAAUGUUGUUAGUACUGAUAAUAAGUUGUGGCAUAAACGUUUAGGCCACCCGAACUCUGAUGUACUUCGUAUUUUAUUUCCUUCUAAUUUAUUAGGUAAUAAAGGAUGUUCUUCUGAUCAUUUUUUUUAUUAUACUGCAUGCAAAAUUUUGCAAAAGUAAAAUUCUACCAUUUUCCUAUCAUGGAUCUCGUGCCUCACAAUGUUUUGAUAUUGUUCAUAGUGAUGUUUGGGGGAUUUCACCUAUUAUUUCUCAUGCAUGUUAUAAGUACUUUGUUAUAUUCAUAAUGAUUUUAGUCAUUUUACUUGAGUUUAUUUUUUAAGAGCCAAAGUCGAGGUCUUUUCAGUUUUUAAGCGUUUUCUUGCUCUCAUUGAAACUCAAUUUUCUAGUGACAUAAAGAUCUUACAAUCUGAUUUUGGGAGAGAAUACAUGUCAAAUGAGUUUCAGAACUUUCACCAAAUCAAAAGUAUCAUAUCCCAACAUUCUUGUCCUUGAUGCCGUAGCAAAACAGUGUUGUUGAGAGAAAGAAUCGUCACCUUCUAAAUAUAGCAAGAACGCUUUUAUUUAAAGCAUCCAUUCCCUCUCGAUUAUGGUGUAAAGCACUUUCCACAUCAGUUCAUUUAAUUAAUCGUUUACCCUCUUCUAUUUUAAAUCAUGCUCCUCCUUACUUUAGGUUGCUUGGACAUUUACCAUCAUAUUCUGAUCUACGUAAUUUUGGUUGUGUUUGUUUUGUACAUCUUCCUAUUCGUGAGCGACAUAAAAAACUUACUGCUCAGUUUGUUAAGUGUGCUUUUCUUAGCUAUGUUGUCUCUCAAAAGGGUUAUGUUUGCUUUGAUCCUCAUGCUUAACGUAUCCAUAUUUCUAGGAAUAUGGUUUUCUUUGAAAACCAGUAUUUUUUUUCAUCUCAUGUUGAGCUGCCCUCUACAUCUUUAUCUAUUCUACCUAACUUUUUUUAUUCCCCAAAUGUUGUAACAUGAUUUAAACUAGGACUUGAGUAUGAACGACGUAAUCGUAAGUUUAGCGCCAUUUUUUCUGUGCCCCUUUCAAGAUCUCGACCUGGCUCCAAAUCUUGCUACAACUCCCAUAUGUCUUCGUCGAUCUAUACAUCCUUCUCGUCCACCUGAUCAGUAUGAUUUCUCCUCUCCUAUCUCUCUUGUAGUUACUUUAUCUGCUAUUUUCAGUCCCACUUGUUACAAAGAGCCCAUGGAACAUGAGUAUUGACAAAGGGCAAUGUAAGCAGAACUUCAGGCACUUGAGGAGAAUCAUACUUGGAACGUUGUACCUUGUCCUCCUCAUGUGAACCCUAUUGGAUGUAAAUGGGUUUUCUCUAUAAAACUUCAUUCUGAUGACUCUGUGGAUAAGUAUAAAGCUCGUCUUGUAGCUCUAGGUAACAGACAGAUAUUUGGGGUUGACUAUGAUGAGGCCUUUACUGUUGUUGCCAAAAUGACCACAAUUAGAACAAUCUUAGUGGUUGCUGCCUCCCAGUCAUGGAAAUUCAUCAGUUGAUGUGAAGAACGCCUUUCAUUAUAGCGAUCUUCACGAAGAGAUUUAUAUGAAGCUUCCCUCUGGUAUGACUACUUCAUCUUAUCAUAAUAUGUGUAGACUACAAUGUUCUCUUAAAGCCUCAAGUAGGGCGCCGAGCUUGGUUUGAAAAGUUUCGUACCACACUCAUUACCUUCAGUUUUACACAGAGUCAGUAUGAUUCUUCUCUCUUCUUCCACAAGUCUGCCUCGGGUAUUGUACUUCUUUUGAUUUACGUGGAUGAUAUUAUCAUCAUUGGCACUUAUUGUGGUUUCAUUUUGAAGCUUCAACGAUUAUUGCAUGCCACUUUUCAUAUAAAAUAUAUUGGUCAGCUCAUAUACUUCAUGGGACUGGAAGUUCAUCAUCGGCCUAAUGGUAUUUUCUUAAACCAGCAUAAAAUAUUCAGGAUCUUAUUGCGUUGGCUGGGAUGGACGAGUCUUCUUCUGUGGAUACUCCUAUGGAAGUCAAUGUAAAAUACUAGAAAGACGAAGGGUAUCUUUUAGACGAUCCAACUUUAUAUCGUCGCCUCGUUGGGAGUCUUAUCUAUUUGACUACCACUCAUCCAAAUAUCUCCUAUGUCGUCCAUCAGGUUAGCCAGUUUAUGUCUUUUCCUCGACAUCUUCAUCUUGCAGCUGUUCGUCGUAUUGUUCGCUAUCUUCGUGGAUCACCUACUCGUGGGUUGUUCUUUCCUAAAGGGUCUUCUUUUCACUUUUUGGCCUACAAUGAUGCUGAUUGGGCUGGAUGUUCGGAUAUGCAUCGUUCUACUACGGGUUGGUGUACAUUUUUGGGUGAUGCAAUGAUCUCUUGGAAAUGUAAGAAACAGGAUUGUGUUUCUAAACCAUCUACUGAGGUGAGUAUUGUGCUAUGUCCAUAGCUUGUUUAUAUAUUAUUUGGUUACGUGGUCUUCUGGAGGAACUUGGGUUUUCUCAAACUUACCCUACUCCCCUUCAUGCCGAGAACACUAAUGCUCUUCAGAUUGCAAGCAAUUCUGUAUUUCAUGUUGCAUCAAGUACAUUGAGGUUGAUUGUCACUUUAUUCGUGAUACUUUGAUGGAUCGAGUGAUAUCUCUUCCCUACAUUUCUUCUGAUCUCCAAGUGGCAGAUGUGUUCACCAAAGCACUAACUCGACUGCGGCAUCAAUUCCUUGUUGGCAAAUUGUUGCUGGUUGACCUCCUAACAUCAAUUUGAGGGGGGAUGUUACCGUAUAUAUAGUUGGAUAUAUUUGGCAAUUAGAUUAUUUUUAGGGAUUAUAUUUAUUUAGUUUCCUUAUACAUUAAAUGACUGUACAUAUAUAUACACAAUAGAGAACACAAUGAAAGAAAAGUUUUUGCAGAAAUUAUCUCAAUUGUUCGGUCACUUUUUGUCAGUGUAGUUAUGCCUCAUAAUAUAUUGUACAAAUUUUUUGGGUAUUACAGAGACACUAAGACAUCACCUGAAUUUCAAUUUAUAGUUCCAAGAUUAUUUUAAAUUGUGGACGAAUCACAAUAUUCCAUGUAGAAGUCGACUUAAAUUAGGCAACAUUUCUUUUCUGUAAGUAUUCACCUUGAACACUGGCAAUAAAUUUUCUCUUCUCGUGUGCGUAUAGUAUAAACCCUGCCAUCACGUGGUUUAAUGCUUUCCUUCCCGUUCAAGUUAGUCCCUAAAUUUUCCUAUUGGUUUAGCUCGAGUCCUUUCCUAUUUACAUUAUGAAUCCUUCAUCUUUCAAUUAUAAAAUAACUUAAUCCCCAUAUUCCGUAAUUUGUUCUUUUUUAGUCGUUAUCAAUCGAUUACGUUCCCUUUCUUCAUAUAUCAUCCAACAUCAGAUUUUUCUUAAAAUAAUCAAUAUACAACCAAAAUUAAGUAUUGAAGCAAUACAAGUACUCCCAAACGUCCAUUUUCAAUGUCAAGAUAUGUUAGACUUAUCACAAGUCAUUAAUUAGAGACUAUAUUCAACAAAAUGGGGAGUAAAUCAUUCCUUUAAAUUUAACUUGUAACGGCAAAAAAUUUUUCUUUGAGAAUUUUAUUAACAGCCUCUUUUCAAUGAAAAAAACGAAAAAGUAGAUUUUUUUUCUAAUGUGUACUUACAUAUAUUCCUUUAAAUAGAACCGUAAAUAAUACAUGACUAUGUUUUGUGGUUGAAGCGUUCAAAGUAACUUCUAUACUAUCAAAUUAAAUAAUUUUUUUUUCACGUUAUAGAAAAUAUUAACCUUUUCAAAUAUGUUUAAAAACUUGGCAAGAGUAAUCGACAACGGGCUCCCCCACAAAAGGUACUAGUCGUGUGCAUUAUAUCACUGAAGGGUCAAUGACAGUCAAGUGUUCGUUGAGGGUUCGAACGAUGACAACCUUUUGUCAUUAUUAGUAGGGACCAUGUUAUAUAUACAUAAUUUUUUUAUUUAAUCAUUUACCUACUACUCACAAAAGGAGGUGGGGCUACAUUUGAAAAUUUUUAUAUUCACGCGGGGCCUGCAUGCAUUGUGAGAGGAGGACAACUUUCGGUACAAAUGAACUUGUCCCAUUUAGUAGUUUCUACUACAAUUUGCAACGAUGAUGAUAGGAAUUGGAUUGAGAAUAACAAAAAAAAUAUUAGUAUGUAGUUGAAGAGUAGCAUGAGGAGUUGAGAAAGGUAAAAAAGAUAAAGAUAUGACGAUGAUAGGAAAAUUUUUAAAUAAUAUUACACACUAAUCCAACGACCCGAUAGUAUGGCUAGAUUCAUGACUGAAUCGAUUCUCACAACUAUACAUAAGUUUAUACAAUACAGUGGACGGAUGAAUGUCCUAUAAGGGAUGUUCUAAGUAUACUCUCCUUACAACGUGUAAGUAAAUUCAAAUUACAAAACCAAUUUUGCUUUUGUUUUUAUGAUGCAUGGCCCAUUGAAAUUUGUUGACGACGAUAAGAUGCCAAGUUCAAGUCUCCUAUUUUUCUUUGGCAACUUAGUUAAAAUUGUUUACAAACUCAAACUUUGUAUAAAUACCGUUCAACAUUUUUUUUCUAUAAUAGUUUAUGAAAUGGUAGAGUCAAAAUAUUUUCAACAUCGAAACUCUUUUUAUGUCUUCAAAGUUUGUAGAAAUUUGCAAACAAAAUGUGUAAGACUAGUUGACUAGCCGGAAAAAUAUGGAAGGUUGGUUGGCUGAAGGCACUUUGAUGCUUAAGUUAAUUUUGUUUAUGUAGAAAAAUCUAAAAUCAAGUCGAGUUUUAGUAAAAUGUGUCCCCAUGUUUAUAAUAUAUUGGAGUUUCUGAAUUAAGAAAAGGAGUCAAUAGAAUCAUUGUUCUUAACUUAAACUCUAUACGCCAAGCAAUUGAGAUAUUGAGUUUCACGCUUAUAGUUUUAAGCUUUAUCGGCGGCUUCAGAACAAGCAUUGACCUCAAUAACAUGAAAUGUGUGAAAAUACAUUAUUAACUUUGAGUUCGAUUUUAAUCAGCUUUUUAUAACUGAACCAAAGUGGGGCUAUAAUGUUGUGGCGAAAAUAAAAUAAUGCCAGAAAAUAAAAAACAAAUUACGUUGUAAAUCGAGGUAGGCCACUGCCGGAAGGGAAAUUGAACACGCCCAUCUCACUAGGAUUGGUCAAAAUUGAAGAAGCUUCAGUGUUCAUGCCUUUUUUCCUUGCAUCCCAAGUAGAACCUAUAUAUAUACAAUCCUGUCGAUCAUUGAGAUAUAUACAUAUACAUAUACACACCAAAUGGCAGAUUUGUUUAUUGAGCAGGCAAAGCAAUAUUCAGAGAGAAGGCCCAGUUAUCCACAGGAAUUGUUCCUAUUCAUUGCAUCAAAAACUCCAUCUCACGAUCUCGUUUGGGAUGUUGGCACUGGAAGUGGCCAGGCUGCAGCAUCUGUGAGUCUUUCUCCUUGAACUGCAAAAUUUUGAGCUAAUUUUGUGUUUUCUUCACAAAUUAUGAUCCGGGACUUAGGUUUUAAGCCCUAAUCUCAAUUACUCGAUAUGAUGGUAAAAAUCUCGAUUUCAUUGUAUAUUGUAGUAGAAAAAGAGACACUUCAAGUGGGUUCAGAAUUUAUUUAAAGAAUUAAGACUCAGUUAAAUUAUAUAUCGACCUAAUAUGAACCUCUGUAUUGUUUUUCAGUUAGCAAAGAUCUACAAGAAUGUGGUGGGCACAGACACAAGCCAAAAGCAACUUGAUUUUGCUGCCAAACUUCCAAAUGUGAGAUACCUUUGUACACCUCCCAAAAUGCCCAUUUCUGAGAUUGAACACACCAUUGCACUACAAUCCAGUGUUGAUUUAGUGACCAUUGCUCAAGCCAUGCACUGGUUUGAUCUUCCCACUUUCUACCAACAAGUGAAAUGGAUACUGAAGAAACCCA